CCCAAUGGUAAAAUGCAGAACCCAAUUCAAACUUCAGCUUCAUCCUGUUUGCAGCAAUAUGCAAUCUUACACAGUCAACUGAACCUUGAACAUUGCAGCUACACUUUCCUCGUCUUCCUCUACCAACAAGAUCUGUUUCUGUAGUAGGUCUUGAAUCAUCUUUAACAGGCCAUACUUGUGUGCCUAACGAUUUAGAGUCACUCCCAUAAACUACACCAGUCCAUUGCGGGACUUCCACUUGGAAAAGAGGACCAACAGAAACAACCUUAUCACGAGAAUCAUCACUAAAUGGGUCAUAUUUUUUCUCUUCAGUCCCAGCUGCAUUGGCAGUUGAUUUUUUCUUUUUUCUCACAGCUGCUUUGGUAGUUGGUUUUUUCUUGUUGAUCACGAUAUCUGGUUUGCCAGUUGUUUUCUCCAUAGGACUUUUUUCUGAUUCCAUAGCGUGCAACUUAAGAGACAUAGAGAGCCUUUUACUACGUCUCAGAUUCACCCUACCUUGCUGACCAAGAGAAACAGGAUCCUCAUACUUGGCAGGAUGUAUCUUCACCAAAUGUAAAGCAUAAAGUUUCAGAAAAUUCAGUAGAUAUUUUUUGCAUAAAACUUAAAUAAAAUUUCUUCUUUUAGAUCUUGUCAACUAGUAGUUAGCAGCAAGCUGAGAGUUUGGAAUUUUAUAUAUAUUGUUUUAGGAAAGAAACCGGUAGAUUGUGAUUAUAUAUUUAUUAUGAAUGCAACCGGUAGAUUGUGAUUAUAUAUUUAUUAUGAAUGCAUAAUUAAGUACAUUGUAAUGCUAAUCAUAAAUACAAUAAAAAGAUAACUAGCCAUUCAUGUGAAAACAUUCUGGUUGAGGAUAUGAAACGCACAAAAAAUCCAAUGUGUAAAAUUCAUGUAUAAAAUCAUUAUGUGUAGUGAAAAUAUACCUUGGAUGAUGAUCCACGGUUUGGUUCUGCAUGCUUUCUGACCGACAGAACAUCUCGUGCCCUCAGCAUCUGAACAAAAAUGUCCUGGUAUCCUUUAUACUCCUUCCCCUUUGAUGGUUCUGUUAAUGGUUGAGCUGCAGGCGAUUCCCGAUUACGUUUGCGAGAAUUAAAUUCCUUCUCAGUUUCCGCACAAGAGGCGGUUAUAUCAUCCUUAACACCAGUGCCCAAUUUUUCAUCGUCGCCGCCAUGACCAUCACUGUUAACAUUUUGGAGACCAUCGCAUUUGUUAUUUUGAUUUUUAGUGUCUAAUAAAUAACCAUCACUCUUCUGGUUAACCAAAUCAAUGUGCUUUAUGAUGUUACUCGAUUCUAACGGGACAAAAUCAUCAUCUUUGUCCUUUAGAUUUGAGCAAAAAAGGUUUUGAAACUCUUUUUCUAGAUCUAUUGGCAAUGAGUUCAAAUACCCAUCAUUCCCAUUUUUUAAACUCUUCUCUUCGAAAGAUUUCCUGAGCCAACCUUCGAAAUCAUUCAGAUAUUUGUCAAAAACUAAUUUCACCGAAGCUAGAACACGAAGGUCCAAACCCAGUUCAACUAUCACAGAAUUCCACAACCCUUUUCUCGAUACCGCAUCAUACCCGCCUUUUUCCUUCACAAGGGCGAAUAAUUGAUAUAAAUCAAGCAAUUGACCCUCACCGAGCAUGACUGGCACAGGCCUCACAGUGCCUCUACUACAAUUCUCCUUUAGGUAAGCCGAAAAAAGUUGAAAAAACAAAGAUUUUUGUUUAGCCUUGUCAUUGUCAUGAUCAGAACUAUCAACACGACCCUCGACAAGACAACCGCCAUUUUUAUGAAAUUCAGUAAAAGUUUCAGCUUCAGGCCGAUCAAGGGAUGACCCGUUUGCCAUGAACUUUUGACUCUACUUCUAUACUCGAUAUGUUUUGAAUUUUAGAUCAAAAAUAAAGGUGGCAAAGAAAAACCUAGCUUGCCCUUUGGUUUAUGUUGAUCGUACAAACACAGAACCUCACAAAAAUGGCGGUGACAUCAUGGAAAUGAAGGGUUUCCUGGCAGUAUGAAGAGAUAGGUACAAUUAAUCACAAGAUCAAAGUCGAAACCUGAAAAUUACUGAUAAUUGAUGGUGGCGGUGAUGGUGCUAACUGGUGCUGCUGAAGAAUUUCGAUGCUGCAAAUGAAAAAAAUUAGUUGAAUUUGAGUUUUUAUUCAAAAGGAUAAGAAAUAUGGUGCAAAAAUAAAUGACUAAGGGGUAUUUCUCUUACCUUCAUUUCAUUCCCCUUCUUUGAAAUCCCUCCCAACAAAAUAAUUUUUGACAUUAAAAAAAAUCAAACACUUGUUGUUGUUCCUUUAUAAUGCUAAAUACUAGGGUUGUUAAUUGGGCGGGCCAAGCCGAUUAAGUCUAGUCCGAUAAAGCCCAAAUCGAUUAGGUCAAGUCAAACCUACAAUAAAAAAUGGACAUGAAUCCACUGCAGUUGAGAAACCAUACACGCUGUGGGUAAUUUCGGCCAUUGAUUUGAGAUCAGACGAUUAAGAUUACCGAUUCAUUAAAGCAUUUACAAAUCAUCUCAUACAUCAAUUUUAAAUCGGACGGUAGAAGUGAGUAAUUGUGUCACGCUGUUGCGCACCAAAUCCAUUUCCCAAAUCAAACUUAGGGGGAUGUAUUGGAUCAGAUCUUAAAAUAUAAUUUUGACAUAAAAAUUCUUCUAUAUUUUAAAAGACUAUAAAAAUAUAAUGACUUUCCUUAAAAAAAAAAAUUAAAAAAAAAAAAUAUAUAUAUAUAUAUAUAUAUAUAUAUAUAUAUAUAUAUAUAUAUAUAUAUAAUGAUUUCUAAAAUUUUGUAAUUUUUAAGAUGGGAUUUAAAAUUGGUCAAAAAGAAAGGUGGAAUUCAAUAGAUCGAAAUGGUAUAAAUUUAUAACGGUUGAAAAAAUUACUUAUAAAUUUAUAACGGUUGAAAAAAUUACUUAUAAAUUUAUAAUUUCCCAAAGGGCCCCCUUGACUUUUAUCAAAUAUAUUAAAAGUUACAAAACUAAAUGCAAAUAUAAUAAUAAAAUAAUAAUGUGCGGAUAAAGAAAAGUAUAAUCGUCCCAGUGAGAUUAGGUCAGUUGUCAACGACACUGCAUUAUAAAUGCAGGGGCAGGGGUUCGAACCCCGGACACCCCACUUUUUCAUUUAAGAGGUGAAUUUCUAGCCAUUAGGCUACUUGACAAAAAAAAAAGUAUAAUUAACACAAUUGUUUCCACACACACACAUAGUCAUUCUUAUAUUGUCGAUAAUAUAUUUUAAUGGUUAUAAAGUCUGGCCUGGUUAUGUCAGGUAUGCGAUAAUAAAGUCUGGCCUGGUUAUGUCAGGUAUGCGAUAAUCAAACGUAGGUGAAUGUAUUGGGUCAAACCUUCAAAAGAUUAUAUAAAAGUCUUAUAUAUUUUAAAAGACAAAGUAAGGUUUUGUAAUUUGAAAGAUUUAACUCGUAAAAAUUUAUAAGAUUUGAAAUGACAAUAAACAAUGAAGAUUUUUUUUGGAUAGUAAAAUGUUAUUAAGUUACUAGUCGUAUCCAGGGUUUGUGCCCUGAGCUUCCUUCUUAGAACUCUUUUCAUGUCACUUAGAAAACAAGGAACAACUCACAUUUCAUCAACAUUAGGAUAGUAACUUUUGUUGACAAAACCAAUUGAAGGAGACUUACAAGGAUAAACAUCAGGUAGCUCCUCCACUCUUGUCUUCCAGACACCUUGAUAUGGACCUGCAAUGCGUCCCAAUAAAAGUGAGUGAAACUGAAAACAACAAAGAGAAGAAGAAAAACCCACUUCUACAAUUGUGUAAAUCUGAGAUACAAUUGUGUUAUUUGAACAUCAAAAUAGAGACGUUGUAUAUGUUUCUCUUACUACUUACCUACUACAACAACUUACAAACAUUUUAAAAAUUAACACAAACCAAAUGACACCCGUAUUCGACACCAAAAUUUGAUGUCAAAAAAUUGUUUCUCUUAAAGCUAAGCAGUCAUAGAUUGAAGUACAAUUACAAGACCAGCAGCACUCAGUAGCAGUUGUUGACUGCUGAUCCAAAUAGAUAACACCCCACAUUGAAUUCAAACAUAUACAAUCUAUAGUUCUAAAGGAAGAACAUUUCAAUUGGAGCAAAGAAAAAGUUGCAAUGAAGAGAGCAGCACCAUAUCAAUUAUUUCGAGACAAAAAGGGCAAAAAUUUUGUAAUAUUACAGCCAUCAAUAUCAUAUCCAACAUUAAUUACAUCAUUAUAAGCAACAUAAGGAGUAUGCCAUUAUUUGUGUAUGUCAUCAUUUUAUUUUAUACAAUAAAUGUACACUGAUAUCAUUAUUAUAAAGCAGUGCUGAUCAAUACAUAUAAGCAAUACAGUGCAAACAGGUCAUUCAGCGUACUUUUUAUCCAAACGAAAAAUGAAGCAAGAAAGACUUUGAUGAGUUAUACCACAAAACUGAGAAAGGGUUAUAAAAAUGUUCAUUGAAGAGAGAAUCAGGGUAGAAUCUCAUCUUAGACUGAUAAAAGCAAGAUUGUGAAGAGUAGACCAGAUGAAGAAUAAUCCAAUAGUUAGAGGUCAAGUCAUGAAGAGGGAUUUAGAGGUAGAUGAUCUAUAUUUGGACCUAAUACAUGACAGGACUAUAGGCAUCAAUUUAUACAUAUAAACGACCCGACCUAGUAGGAAAAAGAUUGGUUGUUGUUUUUUCUUCACCAUUCGUGAUUGCUUUUUGACAAAUGAAUCAAUGUUGGUUGCCAUAAAUUAUAGGCAGGUCUACAUCAUUAAAUUGAGAAAUCUAAUUUCCCAUUCCCAACCCAAAAAGAAAACAUUAACGUUUUAGCUCCCAAUAUGAAUACAAACCCAAGAGAUUAUAGCACACAAAACUACGAUAAUUGUGUGGGUGCUGCUGAUCUGUGUGUUGAGUUUAGCAAUUUAUAAUCUGAUGUCAAAACAUAAUUGAAUGUAAUCACAUGUGUCAGUGUCAGUGUCGAUGUUGGACAGUAGACACACCUUCAAUUAGAAGUGUUAAUGCUAUACAGGUGAAAAACCCAAUUGAGGAAGUGUUAAAGUGUAUGUGCUAAACACAUUUCGACAUCAUAAUUUAGAUGUCAAACAAAAAAAUAAUUUUUGUUAGAGUUAACCAACCAGUCAUAGAUCCUCCUAAUAAGAUUAAUCUUCAUUGAGGAAAAUGGGCAAACAUUCAAUGAUGAAACAAAACGGGAAACUUACAGUGUUUAGGUCGAUGGAAUUCAACAAAGAACUCUUGUAUGGCAUCAUUAAUCAUUUCCACCUUGUAAUCACUCAUCAUCCUGAUUCACAAUAAAAAGAUUAGAAGGUUCAGAGGAAGAGGAAGGAAAGACAACAAAAUUCCAAAAAAAAAACUCUUCGAAAUCAGAAACAAAAUUAAAUUAAUUAAUCAAUUGAUGGAUCGUAUGAAUGGUGGAUUAAUGGAUUAAAUUGUCAUCCAUAGUUUUACGGUGUUUACUUUUCAAAUACAAUAUUAAUAAAAAAUUUCUUUUUAUAACUCUAAUUAAUAAUAAUUUCAUCACUCUCAAUUCAAUAUAUUUCACUUUGCAUUUAUGAUAAUGGAAAAUGCAUCAAUACUUAACAAAAACACUUAAAAUUAUUUUUCUCUCACCUUCAUUUAUACAUUUUUCUUAAUAUGUGUGAAAUGAGAGCUUUUGACUCAGUUAAGCUGAGACGGAGGGAAUAUUUUCUUUUUUAUGAAAUAUAUAGAUAUAUCUUUUUCUUUUAGAGGAUAAAUAUACCUUGUAAUUUUAGAAUUGUAUUUUAUUUUAAACUAGCUAAACGUGUCUGAUUUUCUGCUCUUUUAAUUGGUUAAAGUUUGAAAAUUAUAAACGGUUGUUUUUUUAUGAAACUUUGAUCUUGAUUAAAACUAAGAGUGUAAAUGUUUGUUAUUUUCAACUUAUAACAAAGCAAACUAUUUAUGAUAUCUAUUUCAAUGACACCAACAAUAUAAUAAAAAAAUAUAAUCUAAGGGUGUAUUGGAUUAGGAUCUUAAAAGAUAAUUUUUGUUUAAAAAAGUCUUAGGAUUUUAAAAGACUUUGCAGAAUUGAGAGAGAGAGAGAGAGAGAGAGAGAGAGAGAGAGAGAGNNNNNNNNNNNNNNNNNNNNNNNNNNNNNNNNNNNNNNNNNNNNNNNNNNNNNNNNNNNNNNNNNNNNNNNNNNNNNNNNNNNNNNNNNNNNNNNNNNNNNNNNNNNNNNNNNNNNNNNNNNNNNNNNNNNNNNNNNNNNNNNNNNNNNNNNNNNNNNNNNNNNNNNNNNNNNNNNNNNNNNNNNNNNNNNNNNNNNNNNNNNNNNNNNNNNNNNNNNNNNNNNNNNNNNNNNNNNNNNNNNNNNNNNNNNNNNNNNNNNNNNNNNNNNNNNNNNNNNNNNNNNNNNNNNNNNNNNNNNNNNNNNNNNNNNNNNNNNNNNNNNNNNNNNNNNNNNNNNNNNNNNNNNNNNNNNNNNNNNNNNNNNNNNGAGAGAGAGAGAGAGAGAGAGAGAGAGAGAGAGAAAAAGAGGAAUAUUUUGGAUUGGGACAAAGUGAGAUGUAUAAUAAAAAAAUAUAAUCUAAGGGUGUAUUGGAUUAGGAUCUUAAAAGAUAAGAGUUAGAGAAAGAGGUCUUAGGAUUUUAAAAGACUUUGCAGAAUUGAGAGAGAGAGAGAGAGAGAGAGAGAGAGAGAGAGAGAGUAAAAUCUUAAAAGAAAAAACAAUCAAAUCUCAUGUUUUCAUGAAAGACUUUUUUAUGCUAAAAUUUCACUAGAAAAUCUCACAAAAUCCAUCAAAAUCCGAUUUAUUAAACAAUCCUUCAAAAUUUGAAUGAUUUUGAAUACCACAAGACUUCUUUUAAGUGAUGAAGAGUCUUGAUUGAAUGCCACAAGAUUCUUGUUUAAUGAUAAAGAGUCUUGAUUGAAUACCAGAAGAUUUUUUUUAAAGUUGAAAAGAGUCUUGAUUGAAUACAACAUAACUUUUUCAUGAUAAAAAAGUUUUUUAAAAUCUCAUAGAAUCAUAAUCCAAUACAUCCCCCUAAAUCCUUUUUUUUAACGGCACCACUAAAAAUCUUUAUUAUAGGAAAAUUUGUUUAUAUGUAUAAUUGUGAUAAUGAAAAAGUAAGUAUAAAUAUACUCACCUAGUUUGUUACAUUUUUUUUUGGUCAAAUGCCUUUUUUUUUUUAUUUUAAACGAUUUGGUCAAGUAGCCUAGUGGUUAGAGCUCACACAAUUUAAUUGUGGAGAAGUGGAGUGACCGGGGUUCGAACCCCGGCUCCUGCAUAUAUAUAUAUAUAUAUAUAUCGUGUUUGUUACAUUGUUUUUAAUAUUUAAAUUUAUUCUUAUCUAUUUAAUACAUGUGUUAUUUGUAUUGAAAAAGAGGAUAUUUUUAUAAGGAGAAAAAGUCAGUCCAAAACAACCGAAAUGAGUUAUUUCUUUAUAUAUAGUAGGGUUAAUUAUGUUUUUGGUCCCUAUAAAUAUGUCAACGUUUUGUUUUAGUCUCUCUAAAAAUUUUCUACAACUUUUAGUACCUAUAAAAUUUUCAAUCACUACUUUUGGUCCCUAAUUUUAAGUAAAAUUUUAUAUUUUUUAAUGAAAUUGUGCAAAAUGUAUAGAAUAUUGUAAAAAUCACUCCCCAAAAAAUUAGAAUUUUUUUAACAAAACAUGAAUUAAAUAUGAAUUUUUUAUUGUCAAAAAUAUAAAAAUUAAUAUUAGAUUCAUGUCUUAGUAAAAAAUUCUAAUUUUUUUUUGGAGAGAUCCUUAUAAUAUAUUAUGCAUUUUUCUGCAAAAUUUUAUUUAAAAAUAUGAAUUCUACAUAUGAGUUUACUUUAAAGGAGGGACUAAAAGUAAUGAUUGAAAAUUUUAUAGCGACUAAAAGUUGAAGGAAAAUUUUAGAAGGAUUAAAAUGAAAAAUUGGUAUAUUUAUAGGGACCAAAAAUAUAUUUAACAUAGAUAAAUAUGAAUGUGUAUAUUAGUAAGUGGGAAUAUUAGGAUUCAUCCUUGCAAGGUGAGUUCUCUCUAUAUUCAACGGGACAGGUAAGCGAGGGUAAGCAGGCACUGUUCGAAGGAGUUAAUUAAUCUCUGAAUCUUACCAAAGAGGUUAUCUUAUGAAAUAUUUUAACUUAUAACAUUAAAAUAAGAAAAUAAUAGUUUUUUUUUAGGAAAAAAAUAAGAAAAUAAUAGUACAUAACAAGAAAAAUUAUCCUUUCUAUAUAUAUAUAUAUAUAUAUAUGUGACUAUGUCUGUCCGCUCUUUUUACCGCACUAACGUAUGUGUGUAUAUUUAUUUUUUGAACAAGCCAAAAAGAAAUAAAAUAAUCACCAAGAGGAGUUCAUCGCAGAAGGCGUGCAGAGAUAAACGCUUCUCAAAAGAAUACAAGGUCCAGUUGUAUGUUGCCUAACAGCUAGCAAACACAAAAAAAGAAGGAAAAACACAUUACACCAUAACACCCAUACAAAUUAAAGGGUGCCACCACCGGUCAUUAUAACUGAAAGCGGAAGUUAGCCUAUUAGCCUUUAACCAAGUAAAAGACACAAACUUUACAUUGUCAAAAAUUUGUUCCAAGUCUUGUAUUUUGUCUUCGAAGAUCCUGUUGUUUCUUUCAUUCCAAACGAUCCAGUCACAAGCGUGUCGGAUCACAUUAAAAAAAGAACGAGUAAAUCGCGGUAACCCCGCCAUAUAACUAUACUGCUGAAGAUGAAUUCUGAUAGAGUCUGGAGAGAUGAAAUAACGUGUGUGUAUUUUAUUAUGUUUGUUUGUAUAAUUUUGAUUGUAAUUUUUAAACUAUUAAAUAUUAAUGAAAAUUAUUCGUACAUCGACUUAUCUACAAAUUAUAUAUUGUCAAAACAUAUAAUGAAAUUAUUUAUCAACUUGACGUAUUUUGAUUUGUUUGUAUAUAAAAUAAAAAUAAAAAUAAAAUAACGAUAAUUUUCUUAUUGAUUAUAUUUAUAGUAACAUAUAAUUGACCUAAUUUGUUACACUUAAAACAGGACAUAUAUUCAUAUCGUGUUUGUUACUUGAAAUAUUUUGUGUGUAACAAAAAAAAUUGUGUUUGUUACACUUUUUAAUAUUUAAAUUCACUCUCAUCCAUUAUUUUUUUAAAUGAUAAAGAAAAAAUCGAACAUAUAAAAUUUAUUACAUUUUGUUUUAAUAUUUGAAUUUACUUUUAUCUAUUUGUUAUAUCUAUUAUCUGUAUUGAAAGUUGAAGGUAAUUUCGGAAGAAAAAAACCAAUAGAUAACAUACUACAGUAUAAUACAAGUUACAUAUAUUUAGUUAUUUUUUUCCCUUAAAAAAAAUUAUAUUUUUUGGAAGGGUAGUUACGAAUAACGGUUUUUUCUCAACAAAAAACAAGAAAAGCAAAUAACAACUGAUGCUAUUUUCCUCCCAGUUUCCUUUAUCGCAUAACAAACUGUCUCUAUAUAUAAACAUAAACCUUAAGCCAUAAGAAAGAACACACUCACUUUCACAAGUGUUUUGUUUCAAUUUUCUUUUCAAGAGUUUUUCGAUAAUCAAAUCAAAAUCAAAAAAUGUACAGGGUAGCAAAAGCAUCCGAGUACCUGGUGAUAACCGGAGCUGGAAUCGAAGACAUCAAACUUGCAAAGAAAUCAUGGGUUUUCCCUGGUCAAUCUUGCACCGUCUUCGACCUCUCACCGGUGAACUAUACCUUCGAAGUUCAAGCCAUGAGUGCUGAAAAACUGCCUUUCGUUCUUCCCGCUGUCUUCACAAUUGGUCCUCGUGUUGAUGAUCAGGAAAGCCUCCUCAAAUACGCUAAACUGAUUUCCCCUCAUGAUAAACUCUCGAAUCAUGUCAAGGAACUCGUUCAAGGAAUCAUUGAAGGGGAGACACGUGUCCUCGCUGCUUCGAUGACCAUGGAAGAGGUUUUCAGAGGAACAAAAGAGUUUAAACAAGAAGUAUUCGAGAAAGUUCAACUCGAACUAAACCAAUUCGGGUUAUUGAUUUACAAUGCGAAUGUUAAGCAAUUGGUGGAUGUGCCUGGUCAUGAAUAUUUCUCCUAUUUAGGGCAAAAGACGCAAAUGGAAGCAGCGAAUCAAGCUAGGGUUGAAGUGUCAGAAGCUAAGAUGAAAGGUGAAGUUGGCUCAAAAUCUAGGGAAGGACAAACACUGCAGAAUGCAGCAAAAAUUAACGCGGAGACGAAAAUUAUUGCUAUGCAGAGGGCUGGAGAGAGUGACAAGGAGGGAUUUAGAGUUAGGACUGAAGUGAAGGUUUUUGAGAAUCAAAGAGAGGCUGAAGUGGCUGAGUCUAAUUCUGAGUUGGCGAAGAAGAAAGCGGCUUGGACUAAGGCGGCUCAAGUGGCUGAAGUCGAAGCUGCUAAAGCUGUGGCUCUAAGGGAAGCUGAGUUGCAGGGUGAGGUUGAGAGGAUGAAUGCUUUGACUACUACUGAGAAGCUUAAAGCUGAUUUACUUAGCAAAGCUAGUGUUCAGUAUGAAACCAAGGUUAGUCCAUGCAAAUAUAACCCCUUCUUUCAUUUAUUAGUUAUUAUUAUUAUUCAAAUUGGUUUACUAGCAACAAUAUUAAUACUUCAAUAUCUUUUGGUAGAAAAUAAGUCACUGUAGUUCAAGUAUUUUGGCAUACAUGAAUCUAUCAUUUGCUAAAUUUAUGUAUCAUUAUAAAACUAAAUCAUACGGUAUGUUCAUAUAAUAUUUGUUUUAUGACAAUUUUGUUCUAAAUUAAUUUUGUUAGGAAUGUGCCAAAUCUAAAUCGUGGAUCCCUUCGCUUGCUAUUAUUUUGUGUACUUUUGGUCAAGUUUGUUGAGUUAGCAAAUGCUAUGUUUUGUUUGGAUUAAAAAAAAAAUAUGAUUGACAUAUGGUAUGUAAAUGGCAAAUAGAUUGAAGAAUAUGGAAUUAUUACUACCAACCAAACCUUGUCAAUUUUUUUAACAUGAAACAGUUAUUUAAAAGUAAAACAUAACAAAGUAGGUUGUAUGCUAGAUGAAUGAUUUUCAAUGUUUAUUUUUUAAGUACUGGUUGAAAUUUUGGAUGGUUUAGGUACAAGAGGCUAACUGGGAAUUAUACAAGAAACAAAAAGAAUCAGAAGCAAUUCUGUAUGAGAAGAAGGCAGAGGCAGAAGCACAGAAAGCAUUGGCAGAUGCAACAUUUUAUGCGCGCAAGCAAGCAGCUGAAGCAGAGCUAUACGCAAAGAAAAAAGAGGCAGAAGGGAUUGUGACACUUGGGAAUGCUCAAGGAGUGUAUGUAAGUACACUUCUCAAUGCACUUGGAAACGACUACACAGCUCUAAGGGAUUACUUGAUGAUAAAUGGUGGCAUGUUUCAAGAGAUGGCUAAGAUCAAUGCUGAGGCAGUACAUGGACUUGAACCUAAGAUUAGUAUUUGGACUAAUGGAGGCGGAAUAACGGAAGGUUCUAUGGGCAUGAAAGAGGUUGCUGGUGUUUACAAGAUGCUGCCACCUCUGUUUAAGACUGUCCAUGAGCAAACAGGCAUGUUGCCUCCUGCUUGGAUGGGAACCUUAUCCGACAAAAGCUCUUAAUUAGGAGGAUGCAAGUAUUAGGUUUAUAGUAGUAAUACCUUUUAUUUUGGUAAUUUAGCAGUAGUACUUUUUAUUCUGUGAUACAUGUGUCUGAUUCACUAGUCUUUUUCAUAUGCAUGGUAUUUUAUGAAUGGAUUUUUAUAAUGAUUUAACUUGCCAUAAGUUUGCUAAUUUUUCAUGCAUGGUACAAAAGUAAUGUAUUUUUCAUGCUUGGAAAUGAAUGGAAUUUUCCAUGCUUGAUACUGUCAUAUUUUGGUAAUUUAGUAGUUAUAAGUUCAAAAUCUUAUAUUAUAUGCUAAUUUAAUUUACAAUUUUACAUGCUUGGUAUUUUAUGAAUGGAAUUUUUGCAAUAACAACUAAGCUCAUGAAAAGGACUGACUAACAUUACAUUGUGGUUUUUUCUUAUUUGGAAAUAUAUAUGCAUACUCAUAAACAGGAGCUAUUAUUUCUAUUUUAUUAUCAUGUUUCGAAGAGUUAUAUUAUAUAAACAUUAAAAUAUAGACAACAUAAUCCCCGUGAGCUUAGCUCAGUUGGUAGGGAUAUUGCAUAUUAUAUGCAGGAGUCGGGGUUCGAACCCCGGACACUCCACUUCUCCACAAUUAAAUUGUGUGAGCUCUAGCCACUAGGCUACUUGACCAAAAAAAAAAAAAAAAAUAUAGACAACAUAUAAAUUAAUUGCCCAUUCUUGCCUCUUCUGAGUCUGACGCUCCAUCAUAAUAUCACACUUCUCGACAACAACAUCCCAAAUCUUUACUUGAUUGUCAUUGGCACUUGCAUAGGCAUGACAAUGGGGUGGGGUGGGGACGAGUAUUACCUUCUCCGUACCCAUAUCCGAUUUUUAUAUACUUACCCGUUACCCUACCCAUACCCAACGGGGAUGAGAAAUUGAAUCUCAUCCCCGUACCCGAUGGGUUCGGGUAUCCCCGCCCCAUCCCCGCAUUGAAUAAUUGUUUUUAAUAAAAAAAAUAAAAGUUUUUUCAUUCCCAAGAGCAACGUUGUAAUACAAUUGCACAAGUAAGAGAGACACCACACUCUUACCCAAAACCUUAAGACAAUGAGUUUAUGGGUCCUCUUACUUAUAAGGUGUUCAACCUUUACUAUUUUAUCUGAUGUAGGACAUAUAACUCACACUUGCAAACCAAUAAUAGGUACCAAAUUCAUGCUAUUCUUUUUUUAAUAACUCGGUAUGGCUGUCAUUGUUGUAAAAGACCAUCUUCCUUGUAAUAGACUAGAAAAAAUAGGAGGCUGUGGAUUAGAAUUUCUCAACAAACCCACUGAAUAACACCGCAUCGCCUUUUGAAAGUUGGAAUUGUUGAUUUGGUGUUUUUACUUUGCACUGUCUAAACAAAUGAAUAAUGUGGGGUGCGGUUAUGGUGCAUAAGGAAAUUCUUAUGCACCCUGCAUAAAUCCAGAAAUGGUUUUGGAGUACAACUCACAGAAACCAUUUCCACGGCAAAAUGGUUUUGGCAUAAUUUUAUGCAGGGUGCUGGAAACCAUUAAGUACAUAAAAUGAUUUUGAAAAACAACUCACAGAAACAAUUUCUAGAUUUAAGCAGGGUGCAUAAGGAUUUCCUUAUGCACCAUAACCACGCCCGCAGCGGUGGUAGGAUGCAAAUACUGCAUAAACUACUGUCCAACAGCGCACGUUAAAAACAGAUUAAAAUGGGGAAAUACGGGAAUGAUUAUGUGCAAUAUUGGUGCGGCUUUUGUUGCGAAUAAAGUUGGAAAAGGUAUGUUCCUAGGAAGGAGAAGCAUUGGGGCCUCUACUCGCCAAUGGAUGGAAGAGAUUGUUCCCGACAAUGUAGCGUUUGAAUUAGAUUCAAAAUUGGUGGUUGAUAUCUUCAAUAAUCCUAUGAACGGUCUCUCUUAUUUGGUUUUAUUAUUAAAGAUUGUAUUUUAUCUUCAAAUGUUAGUUGUCCAAACUCAUUAGUUGAGUUUACGAGUAGCUCAUGAGUUAGCUAGAGCGGCUACAUGAACAUCUAUGGCUAGCUCUCAUGUUUUUAACAUUAUCCAGGCAUUUAUUGAACAGACUAUUGCAAAUGAUAUGACAGAAGCUUAUUUCCUUCAAAAAGAAUUAGUUCAUUAUAGCACCAACGACUUCAUCCACAUUUUAUCAAGCCUUUUUCAACUUCUCUUUUCCAGAAACUUGUCUUUUAACAGGACUAAACAUGGAUAGUUCACUUUAUAGAUCCUCUCAACAAGGUAUAUAUAUACUUCCAAUGAUGCUAAGAGGAAGAAAUGAAGCAGUAAAGAUACAAUAGGGGAGUGGACUUAGAUUGUUGAACCCAUUGAUAAAGAAAACGAAUUUAGAGAGAAUCAAAAGAAAGGAACAUGAGAGAAAAGUGAAGAUAAAUUUGUUGUGGAAAUUAACUAACAAGUUGGUUCAAUAAACUUUAAUGCUAAAACUUCAUUAUAAUAAAGGAAAAGAAAUGACAAUGACCCUAAUCCUGGUGGUUGAGUGAGUGGUCAUUAGUUGACCAUAAAAGAGAGAAUAGCUAAAUUUUGAAGUCACACAUCGUUAAAUCAAAAGAGAAGUACAACAAGUGUCCAAUAUAAAGUCCAAAGCAAACUUCCACUGAAUCCACUCGAGAAUCAUCUAUUUUUUAUGAUUUAUGAUAGCUCCUUUUUUAUUUCCACAAAAUGUAAGGACUAAAAUCAUAUUUAACCCUUAAAAUAUUAUAUAAUCAAUAUGAAUCAACUAUUUAUCGCUACAAACAGAAGUGGCGGAGUGGUUCUUAGUGCUUGUUUAGUUUGUGACUACCUAUGCGCCUGUUCGAUCCACAAUAGCGCCAGUUUUCAAAGUUUUGAUAUAUAUAAUAAUUGUAGCCGUCAUGACAUUAUAAUGCUUCAUUGAAGCGGACCCUAGUUUGUGGCGGGGCUAGGUAUUUGGCUAGUCCAGAACAUAAGUCAUCGGUUCGAGGUGUUCGAAGUGAUGACUUCAAAUGAUGAUGAGUAAAAAAGGGGAUGUCGGUGGGGAUGUCAGUCUAACUGUGUUAGAAGCGACCUGAAGAAGAUCGUUGUUAUAUUUUGAGUUCGACUUGAAGAAUACAUUGCAAAAUAUGUCAUGUCUACUCAAUACCAAGUUGGAUAAUGUUUGCUGGAAACCCCAUUCUACGGUCUCACCCUGUCUCCUUGUUUAGUUGCUUGAAGGGUGUAAAUGUAGUCUCAGUCUGUGGUAUAAAAUAGUGUAUAUGGUGUCCACCCUCUCUCCUAGUUACAUGGAGAAAUUACAAUUUGUACAAGUGCUCAAUGUAUACAUAAGAUGUAUCACUCUAAAUUUCCUUUGUUGGCAUUAAGGGUAAAGAUUGUAGGAAAGAAAUAAAGAUAUUAGUUAAUGUGUCUUUAUAGCUAUAAUUGAUUGUUGGUUUAGUUGACUUCUUGACUUUUAUAACGUAAGCUUCUAUGUAGUGGUGACAAUAUUCUAUCCAUUCUAUAGUGAAAUCAUUGCUAUGUGGUUGUUUGGGUCCGUCUUUUCUGCGGUUAAUUUGGUUUUUGUGAGGCUUUGUUGCAAUUCUGCAAGUAUAAAACAAGCAGGAAUACUAUCAUUUUUGCUGCCAGCAAGUACUCUAGCAAAAUCAUGUAAUAAAACACCAAUCUACCAAAAUCAAGAUAUGUUCCCCCCACUAUGUUUUGAACGAUCCGCUGAGUACAUAUAUUAUUAGUAUUGGAGUAAACAACCAUUUUGGUCCUUAAAUUUGUGAGACAAUGUCAUUAUGUAUAAAAAAUGCCAACAAAUAAAACCCCCGAUUUUACAUUGCUAAUUAAAAGAAGAAGAUAUUAGAGCUUAUAAGGAAAUGCAAAUGUGGGAAUCUGCAUAUCAUGACUCAAACGUGUAGCUAUUUAGCAAUUAUUUUGGUCAGUAUCUAAGGUCCUAUAUUGAGGUUAGACUAUUAUUUUUCCUAUCCAUUCUAUACAUAAAUCAUUGCUCAAUUCUGCAUUUGUUCUCUUUUAUGCAGAAUCUACUAAAGCUUUGGUGCAAAUCUGCAAGAAUGAAACAAUCAGGAAAUAAAAAGAUCCAUGUUUUUUAGGAAAAACAAAUUCAUAGGAAAUAAAAGAAAGAAGUUAGCUGACAGAAAAAGGUUUCACAAUCUUCCAAAUUCAUUCCUAGUGGUUGCAUGCUCCUCAUCAGUUGAAUAUGUAUCUUACACUAAGAAAAACGAAUUCAGAGGAAUAGAAGAAAGAAGGUAAGUGGUAGAAUUUGUCUCUUCGGAAUUGGUCCGCUCCACAUUGGCAAACAUUUCUAGAAUUGUUGCUAAUCUAUCUUUCCUUGCCAUAUUAUAGCUUCCUCGAUGAUAAACAAUGUCACUAUGAAUAUGUAUCUUAUCAGUUGAAUAUGUAUCUUACACUAAGAAAAACGAAUUCAGAGGAAUAGAAGAAAGAAGGUAAGUGGUAGAAUUUGUCUCUUCGGAAUUGGUCCGCUCCACAUUGGCAAACAUUUCUAGAAUUGUUGCUAAUCUAUCUUUCCUUGCCAUAUUAUAGCUUCCUCGAUGAUAAACAAUGUCACUAUGAGACAUCAUUGUACCUUGAAAGGUAACUUACAUACUUCCAUACCUCAUUGAUGAUAGUAGGAAGAAAUAAACAGUAGGGGGUGGUCAUAGGUUCCUUAUGAAAAAAAUAUUGACAAUGAUUUGGCGAUGAAACUUAUUGAUCAAAUGGCAAAAACUUACUUGUGCAUGAUGGAAAAUGUGUCUCAUUUGUGCACUAUAGACUUGACCUUGUUUUUUUUUAAGUAAAGUCUGACUAAAAAUUGUUCACUAAGGAAUCAAACUCAGGUUCUUCUGAAUAAUUGCAUUAAGAAAACCGAAUUCAUAUGAAUUGAAGAAUGAAGGUAAAUGGUAGAAAAAGGUGAAAAUGAAAUGAAAUUGACCCAAAUCCCAUUGGUUGAGUACUCCUCAUUAGUUCACCAUAUUGUUCUACUUUCUCUUCUCUCUCAAGUUUUUUCUACGAUGCCAGAGAGAGUUUAUAUAGUAUUGUUUUCUCACUGCUACCUUCUUUUGUCAUUAAAUUAUUAUAUUAUUGUUGCGUUUGUGUUCCUUUCGUUAGCUUUGUUGAGUAAUGUUAUUAGAAGGUUGUAUGUAUAGAAUCCAUAUGGGAAGGUUGAAUGAACCUUUGUUCGUUUCUUCAUUUUUGUCACAAAUAAUAGAGAUGGUUAAGUCUUGUUGUUGUUUUAGUACUGGCAAAUAAACUAUUGUUAUUGUUCAUUAUUUUGCAUACAAUUUCCCUUUUCUUUUGAAGUGUAUUUCUUUUUGUUUGUCUUCAGUUGUAGGACAAUGACUUUGACAUAAGAUUGUAAUCAUUAACUCUGAAUAGUAAAGGUAGAAGAAGAUGGAAAAUGCAAUCUUAUGGAUUCAAAAGUUUCAUUGCUUGACUUGUGCAGUGACAAGGAAGAAUCUUCAAGGGUUUAUUUCUUCGCCAUGUUAAUGGACUUGACAAUAGGGUUCCAAACCAUAUGGUGAGCGUGGACGAGAAACCAUAUUGUUCAUUAUUGUGCAGAUUGAUUGACUUAGUGGGUCAAUUUACUUGGCACAAGAGUGUUCUAAGUUAAGUAGUUGAUUUGUUUAAAUUUCAUUAACCUUCGAUUUGUAUUAUAAAAAUAUAAUUUAAGAAAAAAUUCAUUGAAAAAUUGGUCUUUAAUCCAUUUGUUUUAAUUUUUUGACCAAAAUGUCACUACAACUUUCAAAAAAUAAUCAUUAAAAGCCAGUUUUCCAAAAUGCACUGAAAUUAGGUUAAAAAAUAAUCUAAUUUUAACAUAAAAUUGGUUUGAAACAAAUUAAAUUGAAUUAAACAGGUGGUUUGAAGUUAUCAACAGAUUCUGAACCUAUUUUGGACUGAUUGACACUAGUUAGAGAAAUUAAUCGGUUUUUAAGAAACUUAUCAUAUGAUUUAAUAAAUGACGUCAAUGACUCAUUUCAAUUAUAAGUUGUCCCAUGUUUGUCCAAAUAAAUCACAUGUUUUGAGAUCAAAUUAUAGGCGGAGAGGAUGCUUAGAUUGGUAUACCAAAGUGUAGGCUCUAAUAAAGCAUUUCAACAAACUUAUGAGAUGCAUUCCUAAAACAAUCUACUCACAAAAACAACCAACCAAGAGAAAAGAGAAUAUCAACAAACAACAACGCUAAACAUUUAACCUACAAAUGGUGGCUCUAAUAGAUGUCAAGAGCUGUUGAAAGCGCUCCGACUAAACGGCUAGUUUACAGCACAAAUGCUGUCCUGAAGUGAAAACAAAGUUUUGAACCACAUAGUUGUUGUCCAAAGGGGAGUUUGGCAGCGCGUCCAAGGAGCACGCAAUAAACUGCCAUUUAGCACCAGAACCGCGCCAAACAAAAUUAAUAGCAGCUUCUACAAGUUCUUUCUCAAAUGGCUUAUCACACUGUCUUGUCUACUUAAAAUCAAAGUAUUACUUGUUCUCUGAACACUCCUUGAAUUCAAUUGUUGGACGCUUGAUAGCUUUCCUCCCGAAACCAUCACCAAAAGAUCCAAAUUCGAUUUCGUCAUCAUCACUGUCAACAGUCUCCGAAGUCACUCGAUUCUGAUAACUUCUUAGUUGAAUAAGAUAUACAUUGAAGUAAUAACUCACCAUGUCUUUUCUUGUCCUCUUUUGAAAGUAACUGGAUGGAUUGUUCCAAAAAGAAUUGUUUUGGGAGGGGAUUUUUAGACUCAUUAUAUCCUUAAAUCUCUUUUCUUCAUCACCUGUCCAUUGAAGUGAAUGGGUCAUAUUUUUUCUCUUCCGUCACAGCUGCAUUGGCAGUUGAUUUUUUCUUCUUGAUCACGACAUCUGGUUUGCCAGUUGUUUUCUCCAUAGGACUUUUUUCUGAUUUCAUACCGUGCAACUUAAAGAGACAUAGACAGCCUUUUACUACGUCUAAAAUUCACCGUACCUUGGUGACCAAGAGAAACAGGAUCCUCAUGCUUGGCAGGAUGCAUCUUCCCCAUCUGUAAAGCAUAAAGUUUCAGAAAAUUCAGUAGAUAUUUUUUGUAUAACACUUGAAUAAAAUUUCUUCUUUUAGAUCUUGUCAACUAGUAGUUAGCAGGAAGCUGAGAGUUUGGAAUUUUAUAUAUAUUUUAGGAAAGAAACCUGUAGAUUGUGAUUAUAUAUUUAUUAUGAAUGCAGAAUUAAGUACAUUGUAAUGCUAAUCAUAAAUACAAUAAAAACAUAACUAGCCAUUCAUGUGAAAACAUUCUGGUUCAGGAUAUGAUCCACAGUUUGGUUCUGCAUGCUUUCUGACCGACACAACAUCUCAUGCCCUCAGCGUCUGAACAAAAAUGUCCUGGCCUCCUUUAUACUCCUUCCCCUUUGAUGGUUCUGUUAAUGGUUGUGCUACAGGCGAUUCCCGUUUACGUUUGCGAAAAUAAAAUUCUUUCUCAGUUUCCGCACAAGAGGCGGUUAUAUCAUAUCCUUAACACCAGUGCCCAAUUUUUCAUCGUCGCCGCCAUUACCAUCACCGUUAACAUUUUGGACACCGUCACAUUUGUUAUUUUGGAUUUUAGUGUCCGAUAAAUAACCAUCACUCUUGUGGUUAACCAAAUCAAUGUGCUUUAUGAUGUUACUCGAUUCUAACGGGACAAAAUCAUCAUCUUUGUCCUUUAGAUUUGAGCAUAAAAUUUUUUGAAACUCUUUUUCUAGAUCUAUUGGCAAUGAGUUCAAAUACCCAUCAUUCCCAUUUUUUGAACUCUUCUCUUCGUAAGAUUUCCUGAGCCAACCUUCGAAAUCAUUUAGAUAUUUGUCAAAACCUAAUUUCACCGAAGCUAGAACACGAAGGUCCAAACCCAGUUCAACUAUCACAGAAUUCCACAACCCUUUUCUCGAUACCGCAUCAUACCCACCUUUUUCCUUCACCUUUUUCCUCACCGAGCAUGACCGGCACAGGCCUCGCAUUGCCUCUACUACAAUUCUCCUUUAGGUAAACCAAAAAAAGUUGACAAAACAAAGAUUUUUGUUUAGCCUUGUCAUUGUCAUGAUCAGCACUAUCAAGAAUGAAACAAGCAGGAAUACCAUCAGUUUUUCUGUCAGAAAGUAACUGGCAAAAUCACGAACAUUAAUUUACUAAUUUGUUGCACUAAUGCUAUUUGGUUUUUAUAUUAAGAUUACCAUAUCUUACAAGAUCAGCUUGUGUGGUGAGGGGUUCAAGUGCAACUUUUAUAAAAAUAGUUCCAUGCGUUAUAUCUUUUUACUGUAGGACUUGUUUUUCUCAUACACACGCACGCUAUUGAGCUAUAUAAGUUGAUAAUAUAUGGUGGUUGACUCAAAUAGAUAAAACUUUAAUAGGAAUGGAGUUAGUUUGUUGUUAAAGUGUGUCGCAAUCAAGAUCACAGUUGUUCCAUAUGUAAUAAGCUAUUAAGCUUUACAAUGAAUUUAAUAAAACACUAAUUAAAUACAUUAACUACAACUGAUACUAAUAGAGUAUCAACCCGAUAUAGAAUUGGUACAGCAAUCUAGCUAUUUCAAUGUGUUUUAGGCAUUAAUGAAAAUUUGGAUUCUUUUAAUGUUGAACAGCAAUCUGAUUGUCGCAGUGUGCGAAAUAAGUUUAGGAAUAUUCAUUCCUAACUAGUGCAAAUAUAUUGUAACACAGUUAAUCGAUCUCGGUCGUUGAUUCAAAUUGGAUGGUUGAGAACGGUUAUUGGUCCACGCAGUUACAUCACCAAAUUCAAUUCUGUGAAAAUAUACUAUAACCAUUGGAUUUCAGAAUUUAUAUCAAUCUUGAAAUGAUACUUUAUUUUUGCUGGAGCAUGACAUCCAUCCAACCUAUAUGGAGGAUAAGAAAACAAUUGGAUGCUUCAAAUAUUUCCAAAUUAUACUAAAAUAUAGGCAUGGACAGUAUCAUUUUUAUAUGUAAAGGAGUAAUAAUCAAGUGUUUCUAAAAUAAAAUAAAAAAAACAAGUAAUAUGGUAGGAACUAAUUAAAUUUAUUCAUCCAUACGAGUUUCACACUUCCACCCUUUUGUUUUAAGCCAAAGGGAACUUGCAUUUAGUGUUUGUUUGGUAAGAUAUAAUAAUGAGUUUUUGACUUAUAACUUAUAAGUUUAUAUGAUUAAAAAAGAUUUGUUUGCUAACUAUCAGUUUUACACGAGCUUAUAGUUUAUUUUCAUGUGUUUAUAAAGGUAUUUGAUAAGCUAAUUCAAAUAGCUUAUAGCUUAUCAAUUUUUAUCUUCAUUUUACCCCUACAAUCUGAAUUGAAAAAAUAAAUAACUAAAUGCACUUUUUUUAUACCAUUUAAUUCAUAUUUAUAAGCUACUUCAACCACUAAUUUUACUAAACACUACAAAUUCAAUCAGCUAAUUUAUUCGCUAUCGGCUAUAAGUUAACUUAUAAGUCAUCUACUAUAAGCUCAUCCGCCAUAAGCCAGCGCUAAUUUUUACCAAACAGAGCCUUAAACAUUUUCUUCUAAGAGCAUGUUUGGCCCUGCUUAUUUUUCACUUCUCUUCUACUUUCAAGGAGAAGUAGGGCCAAACACAAUUUUAAUAAAGUUCUUAAUAAGAGAAGUAUCUUUUUUGGAAGGAAAGAAAUCAAAUAGAAAUGACUUUUAAAAUAAGAUGUAAAAUUGAAUUUCUAGACAACUUUUCGGAGCUACUGUUCACAGGCCCGCACAUCGAUUCCCGCAGAAACCAUAUUUUAUUUUAUUUUGUUUUUUCUUGGCACAGUUCCCGCUAAUUUUAUUUUUCUUUUCAAUUAAUCCCGCCAAAAACAUAACCUAAUUCUAUAUAUAAAUACAUUCUGCUCCAUCCCUUCUUUGAUCCUGCCGCCGCUGUCACAUCUAAUGCAGUUAUAUCAUUUUAUAUUUGAUUCUCUUGAUUCUUUUAGAUCUGAAUAUGUCCUUUUGUUUUUUAGUGUCAAUCAUGAUCUGUUUUUGUACUUUUAUUCUUUAAAUAAUAAUAGCAAUAUUGUUAAAUUUAAUUGAUAUAUUCAUUUGUUUAAUAGCUUCUUUUUUUUUUUUUACAAGAUUUGUUUAAUAGCUUGUGUUUUAAUCCGUGCAUCUGAUCUGAUUAUUAUAGUCUUUUGUUUAUUUAUCAUGAUCAAACUAGUACUUUAGUAUUAAUUUCUAUUAGUAUUAAUUUGUCCUGUAACUUUAUUAGUUUGCUUUUUAACGUUUUGUGCAUCUGAUUAUUAUUAGCUUUCGGUUUUAUCCUUUAGUCUUAAUUUGUCCUGUUGCAUUAUUCUAAUGGAUUUAGUUGGCUGUCAGGUCCUAGUUUCAUCAAUAGCAUAUUGAAUUUUGUGUGAAGUAUAUUGGUUUCAAAUUCUAUCGGAAAUCGUCAAUAUUUUGAAAUAGAUUGAUCAUAAUUAUUUAUAACUUUAUUAAGGUUUAUUGCAGCUAUGGCUACUAAAGAAAUCCCUUCAGGUAAAAAUGAAAAUUCAGUAAAAGCAACUUGGAAAGUUCCAUCGGAUACCAAAAUUUUACUUGACUUAUGUAUGGUUGAGAUCCGUAAAUAUGGAAAGCCAGGUCUUGCUUUUAGGAAUAGGAAAUGGGAGGAAAUACGUGAAGAAUUCAAUAAACGUGCUGAUAAAAAUUAUAACCAAAAGCAGUUGAAAAAUAGAAUGGAUACUUUGAGAAGUGAUUGGACGACAUGGAAACAAUUAAUUGGUAAAGAAACAGGUUUGGGAUGGAAUCCUCAGAUAGGAAAUAUUGAUGCUGAUGCUUCAUGGUGGGAUGCUAAGAUAAGGGUGAGUAUUAUAAAUAUUUAACUUUUAUCCUGUGAAAAUUGAAUAGUAGAAUUUCGUUUUCAUAAAUAUUUUUUCUUGUUAUUGGUUAUGCAGGAGAAUGUAAAAUAUUUAAAAUUUCGUUAUCAAGGUUUGGAGUUUCUUGAUGAAUUGGAAUUCAUAUAUAGGGAUGCAGUGGCAACAAGUCAACACCAAUGGACACCGGCUUUGGGUGUGCCAUUAGAAUCUAAUGGCAAAAAUACUACUACAAAUGUGCCACAAGAAAUAAUUGACUCUGAUGAUAGUGAAUUUGAUAUUGGUGACCACUUUAGCCCUGUGGAAAAUACUCAACCCAAAAAGAAAAGAAAGGUUUCACCAAAUAUUGGAGAGAAAGUGACAAAGGGAAAGGCAAAGGUUGGGACAACAACAACUAUGAGAAAAACAUUUGAGCGGUUAGUUAAAGCAGAUGAAGGUCAUAAUGAAGUUGAAAAGGCUCAAAUUGCGGCCACCUCUCAUGUCCAUGGAGAGUACUCUAUUCCAGAAUGCGUUAAAUUAUUGAAAAGUGCAAAGGAUAAUGGUUUUUUGAAUGGUCAACAAUUUAGUUAUGCUUUAGAAAUGCUUAAAGAUGAACAAAAUCGAGUCCUACUGAUGACCUUAAAAGAUUCGAAGGAAGAUUUGGUAGAGUGGGUUCUAUACAACUAUGUUGAUAAGAAACCAUCUAAUAUUUAGGUUAAGAUUGGCGUUGGGUUUUUUAGUUAUAUUUGCAUUCAUGCUUGAUGUUUAGAUUUUGCUUUAUGCUUUAUCUUUAGUACUUUUGUUAUUUGGCAUUUGGUAUUUUGCUUUUGGUUGAGAAUUUUGUAUUGAUAUUUAUGCAAUAUUUGAGCAACUUUACUUUAUAUUUAUUUUCAUUUGGUAAUGUCAUUGUUUACCAUCUUUAUAUUCUAAUAUUGGAUUAUUUCCAAACUCUUUCAAUUUAAUUUAUGAUAAUGUUUUACAUAAUAAUUUAUAAAUUUUCAUUUAGUAAAAAAAAACCAGGUCUUUACAAAAUUUAUUUUUUUAUAAAAAAAAAUGUCUUUUAUUUUAUAUAUGAUAAUUGUAAUAAAAUCUCAAAGCUCUUUUAAAAGUAUUUUGCCAAACAAAUUUUAACUUAAAAGUACUAAUUAAGUUGAAAAAAACAACAAAUACCAAACAACUUUAACUUCAACUUCAAAGUUUUAAUUUUCAACUUUAUUCUAAAAGUGACUUUUAGACCUAAAAAAAGUAGGGCCAAACGCACCCUAAGACCACCUUAUAAAAAGGCAAUGUUCACUUCAAAGUGACGAGUAAGCCAUUUCUUGAUUGCUUUUAUCGAUAGAAGAAUGCAAACCGUUAGUAACUUAGCAACAUGGCAAAAUUAUCGUGAUAACCAGUGUCUUCAUGACAUAAUGCUAAUCCACCCUUUCGUAGAGGGUGGUCAUAGGUUCCUUAUGAAAAAAAAAAUAUAUUGACAAUGAUCCAUGUUUAAAUAUGUAUAUUGCACUAUGAAAAAGGAAUUCAGAAGAAUAAAAGAAAGAAGGUAAAUGACAGAGAAAAAUGGGAAAAGGGAAGAUAAAACUUCAUCAUGUAACAAAGAAGCAAUGAUAUUUAAGCACCCUUUAUUUUCCAACGCUUAUUCAACACUUUAUUUUCUCUCUAUCUCUAUCACAUCUAUCACAUUAUUCGCUCUGUUUUUCUCUCUAAAGGUGUCAAAGGAUUUUGGAUGUCCACCGAUCUUUUUCAUAAGAAAAAAGGAAGUCACAAUGACCCAUAACACAUGCAGCAGUAUUUUAAGUCCCACAUCAGAAAAUGUAGAAAGGGAUACAUCAAAUGUGGAGUAUAAAUCCGAAGCGAGCCUUUUGUUUGUGUCAUAUUUUCAUAUUCUCACUUAUUUUUUAAUACUAAAGUGAAUACUUUAGAGGCUCAUACAAAAUUUAGGAUUCCAAUGGUGAACUCUUUUUAAGAUUUUUAUUUUUUAGAUUUAAUUGCAGUUCUAUAUUUCUAUUAGGAUCUAUUUAGAGAUGCAAUGUCUGAAAUUGCGUUAAUGGAUGUCAAAGGAAAAUCCACUUUUUAGAAGUAACCCAACAAAAUGCUAAAGGAAAAUUUGGUGGUACCUAGAAAACCAAUUUUCAUGAUGAUGUUGAGUUUCUUUUAUGACGAAAAAAAACAUCAUCUAACAUUGUUGUUGUGCAUGUACAUUUUUAACUUUUCAACAUUUUUUUGAGCACUUGUUGAAAGGAUGAAGAAGAUAUCUUUGGAAGCACUCAGCGAUGUUCUUUCCUACCCCGGUUUUGGUUCUAAUAAUUGAUGUUGUAGAAGAAAAUAAAUGAUAUGGAUGGUGCUGAUGGCACAAUAAAAAUGGCUCUCCUCCGUAAAACAAAAACACUCCCUUGAAGAAAAAGGGUAAUUGUUGUUUUUGUGUUUCUUGGAGAAUUUUCCAGCCUUUGGUUCGUAUGGAUGUAUUUUGGUUGAUUUAUGUCUGACUUUCUCUUUUAUUUCUAAUAAUCUUUGCUUUUCAUUUUUGUGACAAAUAAUACAGAUAGUAUUUUUACACAAUAUUUGAGAAUGAGAUAGAUAAGUAUUGUUGUUUUAGUACAAGUAAACUAUAGUUUUUCUUCCUUAUUUUGCAUACAAUUUUCUUGUUGUGUAUGUUAUCUUUUUUUUUUUGAGGUAUUUUUCUCUCUGUGACUUCAUUGUUUGGACAAUGACUUUGAGAGAGGGUUGUAAUCAAUAAUCCUGCAUAGUAGAGGUAGAAGAAGAUGGAAAAUGUAAGCUUUUGGAUUCAAAAACAAGGUCAAUGGAAAACAGAUUCCUUGCUUGACUUGUGAGCUAUACGGAAGAACUAUACACUGAGCACAAAGAUUCUUCGAAGUCUCAGCUAAAGAAGUUGAUUAAAAGGUAGAACUCUCAUUCAUCCAACCUGUAAAUACUUUCCAAUCACAAAUCAGUAGAGUUUUCUUCAAGGGUUUAUUCUUUGGACAUGUUAAUGGACUUGACAAAAGGAUUCCAAAGCAUAUUUUGAGCGUGAACAAGAAACAUCUUCGUCGAUGCUUCAAAUUGGUGCAUAAAUUUGCAGUUAAAGCAGCUCAAUGGAACAAACCUAUGAGCUCAAAAGCAACAACCAUAGAGAUAUUAUCACAAAGCUUAAAUACAGAUAAAUUUUCUGAUGGAAAUCUUUUCUUAGAUUGUCCUCUGGCCAGUGAGAACGGAGAAGAGUGGACUUUAAUUAGUUACAGUAAUGGAGAGAAAGAGUACAAUAAACAUCUAAAAUUUUGGUGAUUCAAUUAGAAAUAGCAAUUUGAACAUGACAAAUUUUUCUGAUGCUGAAGGAUUGACAUUGUCAUACCCCAAAUUUGGACCAUUUGAAAUCUUUUUUGUCCACAUUUUAUAAUAGUUCAGAUUCUCUUUUAUUCGUUUUUUUUACCUUUUAAAACUCGUGUUUUUCGUCAUUAAUCAUUUAAAAACUUUCACCUUGCAUUUGAGUCCUCGCUUGCAUUUUUUUUACAACAUUUAAAAUUACUCCAUUUGCAUUUUUAUAACGCGUUUUAUAAUAACAGGCAAGUCAUUUUAAAAUGUCUAAUUGUAUUUUUUAAAAGACGUGUCUUUUUAAUCAUUUCAAUCGAAAUUUCGGCAGGGAAGAUACUUUGAAGUACCUCAUGUCAAAUUUCGAAGGGACCUUUUUAUUUAAUUAAUAUUUUAUUUUUAUUUUAUUUGUUUUUUUAUUAUUAUUAUUAUUAUUAUUAUUAUUAUUAUUAUUAUUAUUUUUCUUUUUUGUUUAUUAUUAUUUUAUUUUAUUAUUCUUUUUAAAAAAGGGAAAAAAGCAAACAAAGAAAGGAAAGUCACGUGAUUUUCUUUCUUUCUUCCCACUUUUCUUUUCCUUUUUCUUAUUUUUUUUAUUUAUUUGCUAAGUUUUUGUCCCCAAGUCUCCAACAGGGGUAUUCUGGUCUUUGAUCUGUACUUGAGCCAACCCUAUUUUGUCACUAUAAAUGCACUGUCCAAUCAUUGGGAAGAGGGUCAGAAAAAUCACUGUAGCUGCGUCAGAGUCAAAUAUGUCCCUCAAUCAACACAAACCAUAAUCCUUUCUCUCCCUUAAAGAAUACAGAUCAAACACAAAAAUCACAAAAAAAAAUAUGAACAUCACCAACAACACUCAUUUCUUUUAUCUCAUGCCUUGAGGCCUCUUUCUCUUCUUAAAACCAUUUUCAAAAAAUCUUAAAAUCAACCUAACCCACCAAAGAAAUUUUUGAGUGGAACUACGUCGGUUUUGAUCCCUUCCCAAAAGGGUACGUAGGCAGAGGGCUUGUCCUUCCAAAUCAAAUAAAAAUAAACCAAAAACAUACUUCUUCUCCCUCCAUUCUUUUACUUAGAUUUUUAGGUAAUAAUUUUCAAAUAAGCAAUGAAUGUAGCACAAGAUAAAUUAGGUAAGAGGUUCCUACGGAAUACCGUAGACGCUUAGGGUGCUAACACCUUCCCUUCGCGUAACCAACCCCCGAAUCCAAAGUCUCAAUAAGGGUUUUUACUCAUUUUUGUCCCUUCCCACGAAUAAAAAUUGAGAGUUCAAAGAUUGACGAUUCAAAUCAAUCAAUGAUUUGAUAUCCGAAAAUCGAGGAGCACAGACAUGCUAUGAUUUUAUGGUCUCUUCUAGUAGUUUAAGUAUAUCUUCAUCAUAUAAACUUGAAAAGGAAACAACACUUUGCGCAAAAUCACAUAACUAUGAUUUUAUGGUCUCUUCUAGUGGUUUAAGUGUGGUGGAUUGUGACAAACCCGAAUUCAAUGGUGGCUAAGUUGUUCAUGACUAAAUUUCAGUUUAUUAUUUUGAAAGUGGUGUUACAUGUUGAGAGAUUAAGUCUGGUAGUCUAGUGGUUAGAAUUCAUCUUUUUCAAGGCGAAUAAAUGGGGUGUUUGGGAUUCGAAUUCAGACUCCUGUAUAUAAAAUGCAUAUUCAUGUGUCUGGGGUUCAAAUUUAGGUCCCUAUAUAUAAAAUGUAUGUCCCUGCUAACUGAGCUAUGCAAACUUAUUUUAACAUACUUAAUAAAAAAAAAAUGCUAACCUUGUACACUUAAUUAAAAAUCUAGUGGCUUCUUAGUUUUCAUAUGUUACUUUUUCGUUGCCCCGUGAAAGCCCACCAAAUUAAGUUCUACAAUUUUUAAUUUCUAUUUCAAUUCUAAAUUCAAAUUCAAAUUUAAGAAGUAGAUUUUCUGAGAAAUUUAAUAGAUGUUUAAUCAAUGCUGCUUUGAAUAUUUUUCAACCUUUUCCAAUGAGGAAUUUUAUGUUGAGAAAUUUGGCCGAUUUAAUUAUGUGAUAGAGCUAUCUCUAGGAGAAGUAGGAUAAGAUACACUGAAGAAGAAUGUUGGGAUUAUAGGUCAAAUUUCAAGUUUCUUCCAAUGAUUUUUGAGAUUCAUGAUUUUGUAAGUUCUAGUAGCGUACAAAUUAAUAUAUUUUCUUUUUGUUCUACUAAGCAAGCAAUAUUUCUUAAAAAAAAUGUCAGUGGCCGCAAUCUUGGUUGCAGCAGCAAGUUUCUAAUCCUUUGCAAUCCUAAAGCGCUUGCGCGAUUGAAGUUGCAUCAACCACAUUUGACUGCAAUUCUCUAUAAUAUAAAGGAUUGAUACACGACUGUUACUACGAUUUAAAACCUUAGAUCAACCAUGUGUCGCCACAUUAAUAUGUAGCUUGUAGUCCCUAUAAGACACCAAUUAAUGGUUCAAUGACACAUAAAUUUGAUAACCAUGUGUCGCCUCAUUUAGAUGGUGCAUACAGUUCAUUUAUGUGGCUAAUUACUUUUAAUCAUGACUAAUGAAUAUAACAAGUUGUCGCAACUUGUUAGCAAUCUACUAAACACAAUUAACCACAUAUUUUGCGUGAUUAAACAUGAUUUUUCCAAUAUUAAAAUAUACAAUAUAUAUUUUAACCAUCUAAACUGUGUUGAAAAUUAUUAAGAGAGAAAGAGUGUGAAUGAAAAGUGUUGUUCUCAUUCCUUGUGAUUGAAGAUACAAUUGGUUUAUAUACAUUUGUGUGUACAUGAUAAGCUAUUGUAGUAAUGAAACACUAUAGUGCAACUAAAAACUCAAUUACAUGAGAUACAAGUUAUUUCAUCCUUAUGUGUAUUAUCCAAUAGCCCCCCCCCCCCCCCCAAGUUGGAGGUUGAUAGAUAUCUAACAAGUCCAACGUGGAUAAAAGAAGGUUGAAAGGUUGAGGAUGAAGAGCUUUGGUGAAGAAAUCAACAACUUGCUCUUGCUCUUGAGAGGAAACAAGAAGAAGUUUGAGUACGCCAGAUUGUAGCUUUUCCCUCAAUAUGUGGCAAUCAAUCUCCAAGUGUUUGGUGUGUUCAUGAAAUACAGGGUUAGCUGCUAUGUGUAAAACGCUUUGAUUGUCACAAAAGAGUAUAGGAAGUCUGGUGCAAGAAACAAGGAGGUCCUGAAGAAGGUAAAUCAGCCAUUGAAGCUUACAAGUGGCCGAAGCUAGAGCAUGAUACUCAGCUUCAGAAGAGGAUCUAGAAAUAGUCACUUGUUUCUUUGUUCUCCAUGAAAUUAAAGAGUUCCCUAAGAAGAAACACUGACCACUGAUGGAUCUCCUAGUAUUAUCAACACAACCUGCCCAAUCUGCAUCUGAAUAUCCUUGCAAGUGAAGAGGUGAAUCUCUAGGAAAGAAUAAACCUUUUCCUAGACAGUUCUUCAGAUAUCUCAGAACUCUUAAUGCAGCUCAAUGAAGAAUUUUAGCUGACCCAAAUCCUUAAUUUAGAACAAAGUGUCCAAAAUGAAUUUAAUGGAUUGAAAUUCUUCUAAAGAAUCACCAACAAGAAUAAUAUCAUCCACAUAUACAAGUAAAAUGGUGUAUGAAGUACCAACUUUCUUGAUUAAAAGAGAAUGAUCUGAAUUAGCUUGAGUAUAGUGAUGUUGGAUAAGAACAUAAGUGAGCUUAUCAUACCACUUCCUGCUUGCUUGAGACCAUAGAGGGAUUUAUUUAGUUUACAGACUAUAUUAAGGUUCUUGACUGAGAUGCCUGAAGGUAAAGUCAUGUGAACAUCUUCAUGUAAAUCUCUAUGGAGGAAAGCAUUAUUAACAUCAAGCUGAUGAAGAUGCCAAUGCUUAAUAGAUACUAAGGCAAUGACUAAUCUGACAGUGUUGAGUUUUGCAACUCGUGAGAAAGUAUCAAAGUAAUAAAGCCCUUCAUCUUGAGUCUAUCAUUUUGCAACUAAACACGCUUUGUAUCUCUCAAUACUGCCAUCAGCAUUACGUUUGAUUUUGAAUACCCAUCUGUAUCCUAUGGGCUUCACAUUAGGGGGUAAAUCCACAAAAUUCCAUGUCCCGGUUUGUUCAAGAGCCAUCAACUCAACUUGCAUCGCUUUCUUCCAACAUUCUAGCUUGUUAGCCUCAGCAUUGGUUUUGGGCUCAGUGUGUGUAUGUAAAGAUAAAACAAAAGAAGAGUGAUUAGCAGACAAUUUAUUAUGAUUGAGAUAAUGGGAAAUAGAGUAAUUAAGUAGUAGAUUUAAUACUAUUGCAUACAUAAUCUUGCAAAUAGUAAGGUGAAGUUUUAUUUCUGGUGGAAUUUCUAGGUAAAUGAGAAACAUAUGAAGGAGGUAAAGAUGAAGAAGAUGAAUUAGGGAUAGUGUCAUCAAUGAAAAGAGGUGCAGGAGGUAUGGAGGAAGUAUCAUUGAUAGGGUUCAAAGUGUCUGUAGUGGAAUGUGAAAAAUAUUUCCAGCUAGGGUUAGUGGAUGAUGCAGUAUAUUUGUAAGGAAGGAUAUUUUCAUGGAAAGUAACAUGUCUGGAAACAAAUAUUUCUCUGGUGGAUAGAUCAAGAAGAUGGUAACCUUUAUAACCAGAUUUGUAACCUAAAAUUAAAGAUUUUCUAGCACGAGGUUGAAGUUUUGACCUAUGAGAUUGCAAGGUAGAAGCAAAACAUAGACAACCAAGCACUUUGAAAAGUUGGAUAUCAGGAAGUUUAUGAAACAAAACAUGAUAUGGGGACUGAUUGUGUAAGACUAGGGUAGGUACUCUAUUGAUAAAAAAAAAAUAGCAUGAAGAACAACAUAAGACCAAAAGGAAGGAGGACGUUUAGAUUGGAACAAUAAAGCCCUACCAACAUUAAGAAUAUGCUGAUGUUUCCUCUCAACUCUGCCAUUUUGUUGAGGAGUUUCAACACAUGACUUUUGAUGAAUAAUGCCAUGAGAAGCAUAGAAUUAAUUAAGUAAAAACUCAGGCCCAUUAUCUGAUCUAACAUAUUUAGGUGUGACAUGAAAUUGAGUUUUGAUCAUGAGGAUAAAAAUUUUCACAUGAAUAGAAACUUCUGACUUUGAUUUUAAAAGAAUGACCCAUAGAAAUCUGCUAUGAUCAUCCAAUAUGGUGAGAAAAUAUUUAAACAAUAUCCCAUAUUCUAUUCUUCUUCUUCGUCUAUUAUCUUUAAACAAUGUUAGUGAUCUCAUGUUAUUUUUGGAUCAUUAGUUUAAGCCAAUUUUGUUAUAUUCUUGAAAUGUAUGCAUCUAUAAUUUUGUAUUUCUUUCUUUGAUUUCUAACUAAACAAUUGCCAAUUAUUCAUUCACUAUGCAGCAAAAUGAGCAUACACUUCGAUUUUCAGGGUUCAAACGAUAUCAGCCCAGCCUUUUUGACAUUUCAUAUACAAGAUCAAAGAUAACCAUCUUUUUCCUCAUUCUUUUUUGUUGAAGAGGAUAGAAUCUAAAAGGUUUUUGCUGGCGAUAAUUUGGUAAACUAUAGAACUGAGAUUGUACUUGUCAUAUUUGUUGAUGGAAAGUGGAAUUUAGCACCUAAUUGUUCUAUUUGAAGAUAGUUAUUAAAAAAUGGCUAGUUGUAUGCAGAUACCUUAUUUGCACUAUGUAUGCAUUCAAACUUAAAUUUUGGGAUACAAUGCUGAUUCGCCUCCCUUUCAUUUAGUUCGUUAUAAGACCAACGACUUCAUGUAUGUCUUCAUUUUACAGCUUUUCUUUUCUACAAACUUACCUUUUGAUAGAACCAAGAAUGGAGGGUUCACUUAAGGCAUCUCAGCAAGGUACUUAGGUGCAGCUUGACAUCUAUUAAAUUUCUACUUUUUAGCAGGUUGUGGCAGAAUGUGAUAUUUAUCCUAAUCUCAGCAAAAUAUGCACACAAACCACUUUGUCACUAGUAGACAGUUACAAAGUCUCUAUUGUAGUGGAUUGUGAAUCCAUCAUGCGCGUGUUCAAUAUCUGUGAUUCGUUCAUGAAUCGAUUAAAUCUAGAUUUUCCUUUUGCAGGAGCAUGACAUGCAACCUAAACAGGGUAUGCAGAGACAUCUCGUUGUUUAUUAGAUUUCUAAGAGAAUAGUGAGAUGCAACCUUAUAAUUGAAAAUAAACUUAAUGUGAAUUACUUUACCAUAUAACAUGAGACACAAAGUUAUAUUAAGAAAAACCAUUUUGGUCCUUAAAUGUGUGAGGUCGUAUUUUAGUAUUGGAUUAAACAACCAUUUUGGUUCUUAAAUGUGUCUAGUUCUUGAAUGUAUAAAAAAUUCCAAAAAAUAAAACCUCUGAUCUGCAUUGAUUUUACACCCAUGAUUAGCAUCUAAGGUUCUUUAUAGAAGUUGGGCUAUUAUUUUUCCUAUUCAUUCCAUACAUAAAACAUUGCUCAAAUCUGCAUUUGUUCUUUUAUGCCGAAUCUAAGGCUUUGCUGCAAAUCUGCAAGAAUGAAACUAGCAGAAAAAAAGGUUUCACAAUCUUAAUGUUAAAACUUCAAUAUUCUGUAAAACAAGGCUUCGCUCUAAGUUGAAUCUCUGCAUUUUAUUUCUUCAUCAAAGAUUAGUAAUUUUCAACAAAACAAAGUGUGUCUAUGAAUGACUGCAUUUUAUUUCUUCAUCAAAGAUUAACGAUUAAAUUGAACCAUUUAACUAAAAUCAAUCACAACUUAUAUUUAAAAAAAUCAAAAGGGUAAUAUUGUACCAUUUAAUGGUAAAUGGAUAAUAAGGUUAGUAAAUAUAAGAGUAAUAUAGCAAAUGGAAGUAGGUUGGGUGGGGGCGGGACAUAUAUCACCUUCCCAUGCCCCCAUUUUCUAAAUCCGGGUUUUCUCCGCACCCGCAUCCAAUGUACAUGGAAGGAGGGUUUCCUCAUUUAAUUUUUUCUGAGCACGAUCAGAAAGAGGUUUACAUAGCAAAGUUGAGGAAGAUAUUAGACUCGACAUAUGAUAAGGUUUUGGACUGUGUAUCAGCUUCACUUAAACAGGGCAAAAGAAAUGGUCGUGAGAUUGCUGACGAUGAUUUGCCGCCUGUUAGGAAGAUGAAUGUAUCAACGAGUUUCACUUUUUGCUCGAAUAGUUGUCGAGUAAUGGAGACAGAGUUCACAUUAAAAAACCAUAUUCCUUUUAAUAGGACAGAAAAAAAUAGGAGAUAGGGGCUUAAAAUUUCUAAACAAAUCUGGUGUAAAUAAAACCACAUCGCCUUCUGAAUGUUGUAAUCAAUAUAAUGAUGCCUGCUCAUCGAGUAUGAGCAUUCUGAUUUCCAGAGGCGUUCAUGGUGGGCUUAGAGCCAGAAAUUGUGUCCCGUCUAGUCUGAUAGAUAGACGGUGAUCUGCCAGUCUAGUCGAGUUUACACCCAUGAUUAGCCCCCUACCUUAGUUAUCCUACCAUUGACAACUUGAUGAUCCAAUUGAUCUUUGACACGAGGAUGUGAAAAAGUGGGACACCUAAGGUAGGGGGCUGUCAGUUUGUGGUAGAAGAUGAAGAGAAGGUAGUUCAGACGCCUCUUCUUCCAUCCAUAACACACGACACACUCAUAGACACAUCUUACUUACAUAUUCCCAGUGAUUGGUCUUUAGAUUGGAAUUUGGAUAUGCCUCUGAUAGUGAAGAACUUUAUCUGGUAUUUUUUACGUGAGUCCUUCAAAUUGUGCCAGAUGCAACAACAAUAUGGAAAAUAAUUGGCAUAUUUUAAUUAUUUGUCCUGUUUCUAUAGAGGUCUGGAAAAAAGCUGGCUUGUAGCAAUAUAUAGAACCCCAUAUUUUAUUGGUAGAUGGCAUUGUUGGAUUGGUGUUGGCACUGCCUAAACAAAUGAACAUUGGGUAGUACAGCAUCUUAUGCACCACGAUGCGGAGCCUUUGGCGAAACAGAAAUAUCAAACUGUGGGAUGGCAGAGACAAAGAACCUGUUGAGGUUUGUCUGUGUGCUACCGAUGACAACGCCUUAAAAUGGGGAAAUAAGGGAAUAGUUACGUGCAAUAUCGACGUGACUUUUGCAGAGAAUAAAGUUGGAAUAUUUUUGUUUCUACGAGACAAGAUCAAUUGUAAACAUCUCCUUCCUCAUUCUUUUUUGCUGAAGAGGAUAUAGAAUGUAAAAGAGUUUGCAGGAGAUAGUUUGGUAAUAUGUAGCAUUAAUAUUGUGUUUGUUUUCUCAUAUUUGUCACUAAUUAUUCUAUUUGAUGAUAGCUAUUUGAUAGCGGACCAUUACUCAUGACAUUAUUUGAAGAUGAAAGGAAGAAAGAAAGUUUAGAGUCUCAAUAAGUCCCACAUCGGAACAUGAGGAGAGAUACAGAGCAAAUGUGGAUUAUAAAUAUACCUCAUGUGCCUUACAGCAUUUUUACUCUUAAGUAGAAAUUUUUGUUCAUAUUUACUUCUCAAUAAUACCUUUAAAUAUUUAUUGCAUGGUAUAAUUGAGCUUUGUUACGAUCUUGAGUUCUUACGUGCACUAAUAUAUUUUUUCCUGACAACUUUGGAUCAUUCAAAGUCUCUCUACAUUACAUCUCUUAAAUAAGAGUUAGUGUAGACAAUGUUGGAUUUGAAUUAGAUUCAAAGUUGGUGGCUGAUAGCUUCAAUAAUCCUACAUUACUUCAGACAUUUUAGCUUCAAAUAUUUUAUAACUCUCGGUUGUAGUAAUAUGAAAACUUUCAGGUGUAAUAUUAUGAAAAGAUAAUAUUAAGUUGAUUUUUAAUUGAAAGAUGAAAAUACAUGGCUUAAAAUAAUGUCUAAGUCAAUUUUUUUUCAUGCCAAUAAAAAGAGAUAAUUUCUAGAUCUUUUGACCAUGUUAUUUUAUUUUUAAAAGGAAAAAUUAAAUUCAAAUAAAAGCUAUAACAAACGUACUAUGUUUAAAUGAUAGAUGCAAAUACUAACCUAUAUAAAUAUCAAAUAAAUAUAUAAAAAAUAAAAAUAUAGACACCUACAAACACCCUAAAACAGAAAUACAAAAGCACAUUAGUACAUGUAGUACUAGAUAAAUACCAACAAAAUUCCACAACUAGAAUUGAGAAUAUCAUCAAAAUUCUCUUCGACUUAGAAACUUCGUGUGUGUAGUUCAUUAACAAAUGAGUCAAACUAUAUGUAACUCAAGUUCAUAUCAUUUAUUUAAUGAACUUUUUUCUGAUCAUUUGGAUCAUAACCAAACUCAACAUGUUAAUUGUCGAAUCGAAUUUCAAACUAUAUUAAAUUUGACUCGGUUCAUCGUAAGUUCUAUUUAGAUGAGUUAAACUUCAGAUCAUCCACCAAAGAUGUCCUCAUAACAACGAGAGUUGAACCAACCUUGUCGGUGAUCAACCAAAGCCAACUUUAUUGGCUUAAUCCUUCAUUUUUAAUCUAGAAAUUUCAGUUUUUUUAAAUUUCUGAAAUUGUGUCCAUGGAUGCCAUGUCAAAAGAAAAAUUCCAACGAUUAUUUGGCCUCACCCAUUUUUCAGAAGGAACCCAUUUUCAUGUUCUCCCUUUUUUAUGAAAGGCGAAGAAGAAAAAAAAUAUAUAAUGACCCGAAAACAAUCCAGUAAUUAAAAAAGUUCAUACUCUUCUUUUAUUAUUAAUUAAUUUAUUAUAUUUUUGUUAUUUUUAUAGCAGGUGUUCUGUUUUCUGUCUUCUGCCUUUUCAUUUUUGUCACACAAAAUAGUGUUGAGUGUGGUUGUUGUUUUUAGUAUUGGAAAGUAAAGUAUUGUUUUUGUUCAUUAUUUUUGCAUACAAUUUUCUCUUUUAUGCAUGUUAUCCUUUUCUUUUGAAGUGUAUUUCUUUUUGUGUGUCUUCAGUUGUAUAGGACAAUGACUUUGAUAGAAGAAGAUGGAAAAUGUAAGCUUAUGGAUUCAAAAAGGGGGCUUAUGCAGUAAUAGGGAAUAAUUAUGAUAUGAAGACUCUUCAAAGUCAUAGUUAUAAAUGCUAUUCAAUCACAAAUCAGUGUUAAGUUUUAAAAAACGGUCGCGGUUAAGGUCGCGGUUGCAUACAUGAUUUUGCGAUUUCGACCGUUACGGGUGUUGCGAUAUGGAUUGCGGUUGUCGCGGUGUAAAUUAAUCACAACAUUGCACAACUCUUAAAUAACGAUAGUAACUUGAAUAACUUAAACUAGAGAAAUCUUUAGAGUUUAAACUAGAUAAGGAGAUAACUUAUGUAAUUUAUGAUCAAAUAUGUACUAAAAAUAUGAUUUUCAUCUAUCUCAAUUGAAAAAAUACCCGGAUUCUAUGUCUAUUGUCAUGAACUGCAUUUCUUUGGGCCGUAACGGUGUUUCGUCGCGGCUGUAACAACGUUUCGUCGUAAUUUUUGUUCACUCUAUAAAAACGGUGAAAAACGGUAACGUCCGCUACCUAUACCUUUUUGUGGCGGCCUUUUUCUCGGUAACCGACCGUUUUUUAAAACCUCCAACUAUUCAAACUCUCAUUCAUGUUAAUGGACUACACAAUAGGAUUUGAAAGCAUAUGGUGAGCGUGGACGAGAAACAUCUCCGUCAAUGCUUCGAAUUGGUACAUAAUUGUGCACUUAAAACAUUUCUGAUGCUAUAUCUUCCAUUUCUCGUGCCAUCUCUACUUAUUCUUGAUUUUUGUACUCAAUGUAAUGUGCUUGUAUGUAUACCUUCAAAUUAAAAUUAGUGAUACAUGAAAUUAAUGAAAAUAAGACUUUAAGCUAAAACGACUCUACCAUAUAGCAGCUUGAAAAAUGACAACUAGUCAGGCCAUGAUAAACAAUGUCCAAUAUUUCGUUUUUGUUGAACACUGGCAAAGGUUCCUUCAACUUUUGCUGAUCCAUCUCUCCAUGCAAUGUUAGGUUCCUUGUAAUUGAAAACAAGACGUAAAUAAAAUUAUUCUACCAUAUAACAUGUGAAACAUGAUAACAUUAAGUUAAUUUUAAUUGAAAGAUUAAUUUGAUGUGUUAUAUGACAAACAAGGCCUGAAAUUGGAAGAAGUGGAACAUUCAAAGAUAUAAAAGAAAGAAGUUAAAUGACAGACAAAGGUGAGAAGUGAUGUGGAAACUAGUAAGUGGGUUGAACGAUCUUCCAUAUUAAAACCUCAUUCUAUGAUAAGGGAAAAGGAAAUGGAAAUGGAAAUGACCCACUCAUACUCAGUACUCACUAGUAAGUGGGUGUAAUUCUCACACAUAACGUACCAAUGAAUCGCCAAAUUUUGUAUUGUGUCGGUAGUGUUUUUUAAGAGUUAAGAUUCUCUCCAUUUAUUAUUCUCUCUAUUUCAUCCAUUUUGAGAGAUAAAGAUCCAAAAAAAAAAUCAAAAAACUAAAAAGUAAUUAAUGAUGGUGGGACCUACUUAAUAGUAGGAUCCACUAUCUAUUUAUAUGUCCAUCUCUCUCCAAAUUGGAUACUCCAUUUAUUAUGCCAAAUGAAGAGGAUCUUUACCCGUUUUUUAAAGUCCCACAUCGGAACAUCAAAAGAAAAACAGAGCAAAUGUUCAAUAUAAAUAGCCAACCUUCCCUCCCGCCCAUUGUGUAAAUCUCGUUUUCUUUUGGAGUCCAUAUGUCUAUUGUUGGAUUCAACACUUUAAGAGAAGAUGAUAUUGUAGAACUUAUUUUUGUGUCAAGACCAUAAUGGAUAUUAUCAUAAUUCAAACACCUUUUUUUUUUGUCAAGCUUUCACACAUCUUUUUAAAUGUGGAGAAUUAAUUUUGAAACUCAUUAAAAGUUUUUUGAUUUAUAAUUCUGAUUAUUUAGUAAAUAUUUUUUAACCUUUUCUGAAAAGAGAUUUGUGUUAAGAAAUUGGAUCUAUUUAAUUGUGGUAGAGAUAUCUCUACAUAUGAAACAAUAUAUGGGAGGUAAGUUUAAAAUCACAUAAUUAUUCAUACACUGUUUAGUUUAUAAUAAAAACUUGGGUAAAAUAUGCUUUUCAUCCCUGUAAUUAUGGGCCAUUUGAUUUUUCAUCCCUGAGCUUACUAAUCCUCCCAUUUUGCCCCUGUAAUUACUAAUCAUUUGAAAAUUCGUCCUAAUUACAAAAUUUUGCUGAGGUGGAGGGUGAUUAGCUACGUGGCACUUGGUGACUGGGGUUUUGGCAGGACACAUCAGCAGAUGGGGAGGGAAAUGACAAUUUUGCCCUUAAUGAGUCUGGUUUCGCGCGGAAUGACCGUUUUACCCCUGCCUCCUUCUUUCCUUCCUCACGUAUUCUUCUUCUCUUCUUCUCAAUCAUACUUCUUGCUUUCUGAAACCCUAAAACAUCCACUCUUCUUCUCCAUUGAACCUUCACUCGCAUUCCCUCAUCUCAGAUUUACUUUCUCCAGUUCGAAAAUGUCAACUGGAAACAGCAGUACAGGGUACACGUAUGGUUCUUUAUUGUACGGUGAAUUCGAAACUUCCCGUGGAAUGCUUCCAAUGUGUCGUUGUGAGUUGCCCAUGGUCAUCUACAUUGCUAACACAAGAGCGAAUCAAGGACGUCGAUUUUGGAAGUGUCGCAAUUGGAUGAAAAAAAAUACAUGUCAGUUGUUGAUUUGGGAUGAUGAGCUUGCUGCUGGUACAAGGCCAAUAGUUGAAGUGACAUCUAGGAUGGCAGUGACAGAAGAGAAGGUGAAGGUUGAGGAAGAAGUGGAGUCUAAAGAAAAUGGGGGGGCCAAUCCAAUUCAGACUCAAACAAGUCAAAGUUUUGAUACUAAUCAAACAAAAGUUGAUAAAGUUCAAAGGAAGGUAAAUUGUUUAUUAUAUGCUACUAAUUUGUUUAUUAUAUGCAACUAAUUUGUUUAUUAUAUGCUACUUUGACAGAGAAAAACAUCAACUUAAGGAAAUCAAACAGAAGUUACUGAAGGCAGUUUUAGUGUUGGUACUGGAUCAACAAACACUGAAGUGGGGGUAAAUGAGAAUAAGAAAAGGAAGCUGGUUAAAUCUGCUAUGUGCAAUGGUAAAUUCAAGCCACCUGCACCUGCACAUUCUCUUCCUUCCAGACCAGUUAAAGCUCCAAUCACCAAACCUACAGUUGCAUUUAUGUCAACCUACAUGAAACCAAAUUCAUCCACAGCUGUCAACCCCACUGCACAGGUUCAUACCAAUGUUCAUUCUGCUCCAACCUCCAAAACUAUUGUCAAACCAACUACAAUAGUUUCCACAAAUGUCAAGACUGCCCAAAACACACACAACAUCAUUAACCCAUCUGCAAUUGUCAACACAACAGUCAACACUACACCAACUUCUCAAACAUUUACUUCUAAAACAUUUGUCAAGCCAUACACCAUUGUGAAAACAAUUAUUGAACCUGUCUUAAAGAAACGUCCACCAAAUCCAGCAACUAAGGUGAGGAGAAGUCGUAGGACUGCUUGGAAAAAUAAUGCUAACUUCAAAGGGCCUGGAAAAGCAAUAGAUGAUCCAAUUGAAGUGGCAGAUGAUGAUAACCAUGCUAAGACACAACAUGCUACAAAAACUGCUGGUGAUACUUCAAAAACUGUUGGUGAUACUUCAAAAGCUGCUGGUGAUGCUAAAGAUGGAUCCUGUUUAGGCCUGUUGAAAAAAAUUGACACAAUUAAAUAUGUUUAAUUGGGCUAGCAAUGUUUUGAUGUUGUCUUUUUUGGUGUAAUAUGUGGCUUGGACCAAGUUAUCUGCUAAUUAUGUAGCUUAGCCAUCUUUUGAUGUUAAUGUACCUAUUGGCUUAGACCUUAAAUGUUUAGCUUAGCCAUCUUUUGAUGCUAAUUUACAUAUUGGCUUAGACCUUAAAUGUUUCUUCCUUUGAUGACAAUGUUAUGCUAUUUGAGUAAAUGUUAUUCUAUUUCAUUACAAUCAUGGGAUACACCAUCUUUGUUGCACAAAGUGAUUGAUGCUUCUGUAAAAACACAAACUUAAACAACACAAACUUAAACACUUUCUUGCAAUCACAUUACAAUUCAUUUAGAUUGAAAUACAACACACAUUCAUUUAUAUUGAAUUACAACACUUAACACACAAACACUUAACAAACUAAACAUAAAGCCUAAACAUAAACACACUACCAAUGGAUCCACUUCAUUACAUAACAACCAACUACAACCCUAACUUAAACAAACUAACACUGCAAUCGGAAUCCAACUUGCCACCAGAUGCAACUUCAGCCAUUACUUUCUUCCAUAAAACACACAAAAGAGAACCCAACUUGCCACCAGACUCCACUUCAGCCAUGCCACUUUCUUUUUCUCAGCUAACAUCUUCUUCUUCCACUUAUCUUUCUUCAAGUCAUAAAUUCCUUCCAUAGCUUCAACACAAUUACACUUCUUUUCUUUAGACUCCACUUCUUCCUCAACCUUCACCUUCUCUUCUGUCACUGCCAUCCUAGAUGUCACUUCAACCAUUGGCCUUGUACCAGCAGCAAGCUCAUCAUCCCAAAUCAACAACUGACAUGUAUUUUUUUCAUCCAAUUGCGACACUUCCAAAAUCGACGUCCUUGAUUCGCUCUUGUGUUAGCAAUGUAGAUGACCAUGGGCAACUCACAACGGCACAUUGGAAGCAUUCCACAGGAAGUUUCGAAUUCACCGUACAAUAAAGAACCAUACGUGUACCCUGUACUGCUGUUUCCAGUUGACAUUUUCGAACUGGAGAAAGUAAAUCUGAGAUGAGGGAAUGCGAGUGAAGGUUCAAUGGAGAAGAAGAGUGGAUGUUUUAGGGUUUCAGAAAGCAAGAAGUAUGAUUGAGAAGAAGAGAAGAAGAAUACGUGAGGAAGGAAAGAAGGAGGCAGGGGUAAAACGGUCAUUCCGCGCGAAACCAGACUCAUUAAGGGCAAAAUUGUCAUUUCCCUCCCCAUCUGCUGAUGUGUCCUGCCAAAACCCCAGUCACCAAGUGCCACGUAGCUAAUCACCCUCCACCUCAGCAAAAUUUUGUAAUUAUGACGAAUUUUCAAAUUAUUAGUAAUUACAGGGGCAAAAUGGGAGGAUUAGUAAGCUCAGGGAUGAAAAAUCAAAUGGCCCAUAAUUACAGGGAUGAAAAACAUAUUUUACCCUAAAAACUUUUGGAAGUAGCCAAAAAAAAAAAAAAACUUUUGGAAAAAAUUUAUGAAAACUUCCUUUGUCUUUAACAUCAACAGUAAAAAAAUUAAUGUUUUCUGGAUGCACUGUUUUGGAUAAAGGUAGUUUUCAAAAUUUCACACCACCCAAACAAGUUCUAAACUUUUAAUUCCUGCCUAACUUGAUUACCUUACAAAAUCAUAUGAUAGUAGCAUUUAGUAGCUGGAACUGAGAGAUAUUUUACCAAUAUUGAUCUAUGAGUUGUUAAGUUUGACAGCAUGUUAAUUUUAACGUUUUUGAGUUUUGUCAAUCAUGACAGCAUGGUUAUGAAGGUGCACAAGAACGUUUGUAGCAUUAUGUGGCUUUUUGAGUUCGAGGCAUCUCAUAGUCAUAGUCAUAAUCUACUUUGCAUGUUUUUUUGAUCUAGAAAGAAUGGAGAUAACACUUGUUUGAUGUUUCGUAUGUAAGUUGAAGUUUGAAAAUGAAUAGCCCUGCCAGCCAGCAAUGGUUUUAAGUCCCACAUCGGAAAAUCAAGAGAAAAACAAAGCAAGUAUGGAUUAUAAAUACUCUAUAUGCCUUUUAGCAUUUUACCUAUCAGCUUGAUGUUUGAUUAUUAAAUUUUUGAAAAGCAGAAUGGACGUAUGGAAAAUUGUUUUUGUUUGAAAGCAAUUUCUGGUGAUAAAACAACUUUUAAAUAGUUUAUUGAAGACAGUGAACUUUCCAUAGUUCUAAACCUUAAUCGACUAUUAUUCUAUUAGGUGUGAGAAUCUCAUGUCUUAAAUACCAUAUCAAACAUUUUUAUCUUUUCGACAUGGGACACCUAACAAAGAUCUCUCUUAUUUUGGUUUUAUUGUUAAAGAUUGUAUUUUAUUUUUAAAUGUUAGUUGUCCAAACUCGUUGAUCGAGACAAGUUAACGUAGUAGCUCAUAAUUUAGUUAAAGCAGCUACAUCUAUGAAAAGUUAUCUGUUUUUAACAUUAUUAUCCUGACAUGUAUUGAACAAAACUAUUGCUAAUGAUAUGAUAUAUAUAGGCUUAUUUCCUUUAUAUGCCAGGAAACAAUUGUUAGUUUUAGAUGCUUGGAGUGACAGGAGACAAACAUAGCAGAAUGAGUCGGGAGCCAUCAUAAAAAAUAUAUAUUUGUUUAUGUUGUCCAAGUGUUGUGUGAAUAUUAUAAUGAUUUUUUUUUUUUUAAGGAGUGUGAAUAUUAUAAUGAUAACUAGUAACAUAUUCCUUAAAAAAAAAAAAAAAAAACUAGUAACAUAUACUACUACUACUAGGUAUCUAAUUUCAAAGCACAAGCCUUUAUGUUACGUUACAAGACUCUUUUGAGUUUUUUCUUUGUCCCUUUUUAUAAGAUAUUUUUCAAAUUUUAAAGUACAUUAACUAUUUCUUCACCAAUAUUAUACCUCUAUUUAUGUUACAUAUUUUUCUUCAAUAUGUAAUAAAUACUUUUGGAAACAUUAACAAAUCCUCUUUCCUAAGCGAUUAGGUAGGUAUAUAUACUCAUUCCGUCCUAAAUUAUAAGCAAAAAAAAAAUCACAAUUAUUAAGAAAACUAAAACAUAAGAAUUUGGAGUGUAGUUUUUUGUGUUUUCUUUGAAAAAAGUUUUAUAGGAAGAUGUAAAAACAAUUUUCAUUGGCCAUUGGUUAUGGAAAAAAUGAAAGAGAGAGAAAAUUGAAUGUAAUUUGCAUUUAAUUUUAUGAGAAUAAACAAAAAAAAAUCUUGGAAAAGAUAAAAGUUUGUCUUUUUUGCUUAUAUUUUGGGACAAAGAAAAUGUGUUUUUUUUGCUUAUAUUAUGGGACGGAUGGAGUAUUUGUCAAGUUUCCCAUGAAUAAUUUGUUUUCCGUGAAGACAAAAUAAAAUUGAAUACUUGCCAAGUGUGGAGAUGACUACUUGUUUCCUAUUGAAUUCACCGUCAGUGUAAAUGUGAAUAUUUGUUUCCCUGAAUAAAUAAUGUAGGAAAUAACUUAUUGGAGUUCUAUUUGUAGUAGGAAUGUUUCCUCCUCUACUAAAGAUUCUAUUGCUAGUAUUCUAUGGGAAGUAAGUGAUAUAACUGCAUCGUCAGAACUCUUCAACUGCUUCAGAAAUGGUCUAUUUGGUUCUUGCAAGCUCUCCUGAUAAUGAGUGUGCAUUGUUUAUGGUUUUACAUUUAAAUAUCUAUGUUCAUCUUCUUAACCCUUAUAACUCUUUUAUUUUUCUUAACUCAUUGAUGAUCAUUGAAUCUUGUCAAAGAUCUACUUUUUCUCAAAGAGAAUCUAAAUUCUAAAUCACAAUUCAUUAACUAACUCAAUUAAUUGAAUCAAAUUGUUAUUUGUUUGAUUAAUUUCCAUAAUAUUUAAUUAAGUUUGUUACUUAGACAUCAAUGAUCAUGUAACUAGUCAAAUUAAGUUGUAUUAAUUGCAUUUAUCCAAUUUGGAAGUAAAUCUUUGACAUUAAACAUAUUACCUAUUAUAAGGACAUUAUUAUGUUAUAUAACAAAUAACAUAAUAAAUACAAUUUUGUGUGUGUAUAACAAGGUCAUAAUAAAAAAGUAAAUCUAAUCAACAUAGAUUAUCUAUUAAGGUUUACUCUAACAUAUACAACAUCUCUUAUUCUACGAGAUCAUUUAAAUUAGGAAAAGAAAAAUACAACUAUUUGGUACCAACAUAAUAACUAAAUGAUAGAUCAUGAAAUAUUUUGGCAUUCGGUAUAUUGCACAUUUAUUUUGGUAGCAUAACAAAACAUUCUUCUUGAUUGGGCGUUUGUGUACUCUCGUGGGUUUGGUAUUCAUAGAAUUGGUUGACAUUCGUGAUUAAUGCACUUAGUAACAAACCAUAUUUGUCGACAAUCGACAUCAGUUUUACAUUCCUUAUGUACUGCUGUAAUGAAAAAAAAAUAUAAUAAAUAAUGGUACUAAAACAUUAUAAAAAAAUGUGUAUACCAACUAUGGUAAAGAAGGAAAUUUGAAAAAGAACGAAAAAGUUAUUUACCUCCAUCAACUUUUGUUGCAACAAAAAAUAAGAAUAGAACAAGAAUCGUAGCAUAAACAAACUUUAGAAUAUGAGCCAUAUUUUUUUUCAUUUUAGUAUGUAAAAAUAGAAUGUGAUUUGAUCUCUUUAUAUUGUAAAAAUUUCAUGAUCUCCUACAAAAAGUAUAUAGUUUUUAGCUCUUACGAAGUUGUAAAACCCCUUCAUAAAAUUAUAACUACUACAAAACAUCUCUUAUGUAUAUCAAGUGUGUUGUGUUUGUCCAUUGAGCACACGUAGAAAGGUGAUCACAUAGCAAACUUGUUAAUAAUAAAAAAAUAUUUUUUUUUUUUUAAUUUUCAUUAGAUUUCUAACCUUUCAAAAUAGUAAAGGGAAAUUUUAAUUUUUUAGACAAUGUAGAGUUAUUUGUUUGAAUAAUGCACCAUAAAGAUGAAAAAAUAUUUAUGCAUUGUAGGCUCAAUGUUUUUUGUUAAUAAUAAAAAUCAUUGAAUAAAAAAUAAUGCAUAUUUAAUUUUGCAAGUGCGUGAUAUUUAAAUUUAUGGACAAAGGUGCAACAGCAGGAACAUGAAUAGAACUAUUAUUAUUACGCUCCUCCUGAAUAACCAAAGAAUAUUCUUUGUUCAUGGAAGGAAAUGGAUCCAUCAAUGACGUUUAUGGAUUUUCAAAACUGUUGUAUUUAAAUUUUUAAAGUCUAUUUUGAAAAAGAAUCUUUAACAAGUUUUACAACACUAUCCAAAAUUGUGAAAGGAAGACUAUCAAUCCGCCGUCUCCCAGAUAAAAUAAGUUCAACUACAUUUAUGCAAUUAGCUACUGCACUAUAGCUAAUCAUUCAAGAAUUACACCUCCAACGAGAAUUUAAUACUGAAACCAAACAAUUAUGGUAAUAUGACCACUCUACUAUAGUAUUGUGACCGUUCAAAUAUAGUUUUACCACCAUUCUAACCCUUAACAUCUCCAACUAUCAAUAUGGUACUACAAUCACUCAAAUAUGGUGUUACCACAAUUUCCAAUCUCUAAAUUCUCCAAAGGAAGAAAAUAUCCAAAGGAUAUAUACUCUUAAGAUCUUUCUUACCUCUGAAGUUACAUUAUUAUUUCUCAAAAGGCUAAAAUAUGGUUUUAGUCCCUGCAAAUAUGUCUCGUUUUGGUUUUAGUUCCUGUAAAAAAAAAAAAAUGUUUUUGGUCCUUGCAAAAUUUUUUGUUUUUUAAAAUAGUCUCUCCAAGGACUAUUUUCAAAAAACAAAAAAUUUUGCAGGGACCUUUUUUAAAAACAAAAUAUUUUGCAGGGACCAAAAACUACAAAAUUGGUUCAGUUAUAUUGUGCCACGUAUGUAAAUCAUCACAAAAGUGGGGUCAGGGACUAUUUUCAAAAACAAAAAAUUUUGCAGGGACCAAAAACAAUUUUUUUUUUUACAGGGACUAAAACCAUAUUUUGGCCUUCUCAAAAUGACUAUCAUCUUAAAUUUCCUGUCUGAAUGCAUUAAAAGGGAAUGAUAAUUCAAUUGAUACUGAUGGCCAUAAUGUAUGGCAAUAUAUAGUUACAGACUGAUACACAGUAUAGAAAACUAACUCCUACUAUUAGUGGAGCGUAUCCUAGUAUCAAUGGAGCGUACAUUUGAAUGCUCCUGAUAUUGUGGAAUGACUAAUACAACUAACUAUGAUAUACAACACAUUUACAUAGUGAUAGGAAUUGCAGUUUAACCUUAACUAUAGGAGCUAACUUAUGUUUAUCUAAUAUGCAUUUCAUAUUUAAAUUAAAUUUAUCUAAUGAAGGAGAGGGACUGCCCACCCAUAUCAUGCUCUCAAGUUUUAAUUCUCAAAUUUAAUUUUGAUGUUUAGUAGUUUGUUUUGAUAAAACGAAUGCUUACAUAUAACUGUAUCUGCUAAAUGUUUAAUCGACCUUUUACAUGCAAAAUCUAUGGUACAGUUGAAAAUUUAAGUGCACAGAACACCAAAUAUUCAAAUUAAUGGCUAAAUUAGUUUUUUGAAAAAUAAAUUAUUGUUUUCAAUUAUUUACAAUUAUAAUAAUUAAAUUUUAUUUACUAAAAGUACCAGCAAAAUAAAAAUUAAUUUUUCUGAAUUUUUAUUACUAGAGAAUGUUGAUUAUAUUUUACAAUAAAAUGUAAAAAAAAAUUGUAUAAUUCUUAUAAACAAUGAAAUUAUACUAUUUUCGUAUGAAAUGAUAUUUUCUAAAAUAUAAAAGUCGAUAAAUAGGGUCUUUAGUUCAUAAAAAAAUUAUUGUUAAUUUAUGAAUUUAGAAAACAAGUGUAUCGGUACACUUUAAUUACGAGUGUGUUUUAGAGGGCCCCCUUUUACACCUUUUUACAGGCAAAUUUCCUUGGCACAAGAGUAAGUAGGUUCAUGAUUUUGUAACUGUAAGCGCCAGUAAUGUUGAUUUAACAAUGACAGGAAGUUUGACAAAAGUUGAAUCACCAUCUUUUAUGGUUGAGAUUGAGUUUAUUACUCCCAUAUUUUGUGAUAGUUGUUUGGUUUAAUGGUAAUUUAAAUCAAUGAGGUUUUAUUUUGAAAUUCAAAAUAAAUAGUAUCUCUCUCUUUUAAUUUUUGAAUGGUGGUUAAAAAGUUGAUUGUAACUAUAAAAGUAUGAAAAGUUGAAUGAAAAGAACAAUGUUCACUUUCUCAAAAAAGAUUAGUAUUGUUACCAUCAAGAGUACAAGAAAUGAAAAGACAGAGAGGCGAAAAUAGUUCCAUUAAAAAUCAAAGAUCAUAAUAUCAAGAUCCUUAAUAAAGUUUGCUUACAAGUUAAAGUUCAAAAUCCCUUCCAAUGUGAUGCAUUUUGGUGGGGACAUGGAGGUUCUCCAAGAUGUGGGUUGCAUUUGAUGUGUAUUGGAGUCAAAGAUCUCGGAUCAUUUAAUGUAGACAUGCUUGGUAAGCAUGGAUGGAAAUUUCAAACUGAAAGAACCAGUCUUGGUGUCGCAUUUGUUUAAGGCGGGUUGUUCUCCUGAUAGAGUGAUAGUGACUUAAUUUGGUUGAAGAUUGGUCAUAAUCUAAUUUACAUGUAGAGGAGUAUUUUCAGUGAGAAAAUUGUGUUGAAAAAUGAAGCUCGCUGGUGAAAUAUGUGAUAAUAUCUCUAUUUGGUGAACCUUGGUUGUCGAAUGGAAUUAGUUUAUUAGGGAGCAGCCCCGCUUUUGCACAGAUACAAAAUGUGAAGGUGAGUGUUAUUAUUGAUCGAUUAUUUGAUAAGCAAGUUUCGUCUUUAAUCCUCAACAUAUUGUUGCAUCACUAAAUAACGGAAGACGUGUUGGUUUGGAAAGUUGAAAAGUAUGGCAAUUACACGGUACAUAGUGGUUACAUAUUAUGUAUGUGUGUAAUAUUGCCGAUAAUUCACAUUGAGACGGUCUGGAUAAUGGGAAUGUAUUUUGAAACUUAAGUUCCUCCAAGGUAAAUAAUUUGGUGUGGCGUUUGUGCAAAAGUUGCUUCCCUACAUGAGAUUGCCUAAGUGGUAGAGGCAUGAACUUUCCCAUAGAAUGUGUUUUUUGCAACUAGAGUUACGAGGACAACAGUCACGUGUUAUUGGAAUGCCCAAGAGUUGAACAAGUUUGGCAAACAUCAAAUUUGUGGGAAGUAAUUGACAGUGUACUUCGGGAACAUUACAACAUGGAAUAUGUUUUUUUUUUUUGUUGUUAAAUAUUCUUCAUGCUUCUCAAUGUGAACGAUUUGUAGCCAUUCUGUAGAGUUUAUGGAAAAGCAGAAACUUAAAGCUUUGGCAACAUGUGGAUGAGUCCAAUGCUCAAAUUGAAAACUAGCUCAAAAGGUUAGGACAAGAAACACAAGUAUGUGCACUAAUGAUCGGUCAGAAUCGAGUAGUGCUAGAUGUCAAAGUUGGUCGAAACUUGCACCAGGAAGGUAUGAGUGUAAUGUAGAUGUGACAUUCUCUUCCUCUCGAUAAGGUAGGGAUUGACAUGUGCAUUCGGGAUGACUAAUGUUCUUUUGACAUAAUGCAAUAUUUAGUAUUAUUAAGGUAGUGUUUAAGGUUUCCUCAAUGAUGAAGAAUGUUGCAUAAGAUAGCAGAAUUUACUAUAGCAGAAUUUACUAAAGGAUGAUCUUAGAUUACUGUAGAAAGAAUAUGACAGAAGAAAAAGGUGGACAUUCUCACAUUGUUACAUAUACUAUGGUAGUAGUUUUGAUGUCCCACAUCGGAACAUCAAAAGAGAAAUACAUCAAAUGUCCAAACAUAAAAUUGAAGCCUAUCCUUGUAACCAUUCAAAGCUUCUUUUCUUCUACUACAUUUAAGAGCUUCUUUUCUAUUCCCACCAGCCAACUUAAAAAUUUGAUUCCUUCUUUUUAAAAGUUGGUUUUCUAAAUUUAUGUUGGUGGGGUGAAUGGAAAAGCAACUCUCUAAAUAUAUUUGUUGAGGGAAAAUCCUCUAAAUUUAUUUUUUAAAAUUUUGACUUAAUAAUUUCUUUCGUUGCCCUGUGACCGGUGCACCCAACCACAUUAAGUUCUAAAUUUCUAAUUCAAUUAAAAUUCAAAAUCAAAGUUAAGUAUAUUUUCGAGUAACAUGUGAAGAAUGGUGGGAUUAAAGGUCAAAUUUCAAGUUUCUUCCAAUGAUUUUUAAGAUUCAUGGUUUUGUAAGUUCUAGUAGCGUACAAAUCAAUGUUUUUAUUACUCCUACUAAGCAAGCAAGAUUUUUUUUUUAAAUGUCAGUGGCCAUAAUCUUGGUUGCGACAUCAAGUUUCCGUCCCUCUGCAAUCCUAAUGCGAUCGUGCGAUAGAAGUUGCAUAAACCACAUUUGGCUGCACUUCACUACACUAUAAAGAAUUGGUACACAACUGUUACCACAAUUUGAAACCUUGGAUCAACCAUGUGUCACCUCAUUAAUAUGUAGCUUGUAGUCCCUAUGAGACUUGCAACAUCAAUUAAUGGUUCAAUGCACAUAAGUUUGACAACAAUUUAGAUGGCUAACAUUGUUCAAUUACGUGGUUAAUUACGUUUAGUAAUGACUAAUGAAUAUAACAAGUUGUCGCAACUCAUUAACAAUUCAUUAAACACAAUUAACCACAUUUUUUUAGCGUCAUUAAACAUGGUUUUUCCAAUAUUAAAAUAUAUUAUAUCUAUUAACCAUGUAAAUUGUGAUGAAAAUAUCCAUGAUUUUGCUGCUUUUGUUGAAGACAGAUUCUACUAAGGUGUCUCCUUGUAAUAGGUAUGUUCCAUACUCCAAAGAUGCUAAGAAGAUGAAAUAAAGCAGCAAAGAUACAUAUAGUAGGGAGGGAUCAUAAGUUUGAUGUGGAAACUGAAAGAUACAAACCAGUGAUUAGUGGCGAGUUAAAAUGCGGCAAAAGACUUGAUUUGGGCGAGGAAAAACUGAUGGAAUCCAUAUUGGUUGUGGAAGGUGAGAGGCAGUGGAGGAAAUCCCAAAAGAUAGGGAAAGGAAACCUCCACAGCAGUUUGCAAAGUUGAGCCCCAUGAUAACAAGCUAAUAUUUGCUCUCUGAAGGAUUCAACAUAGUUGAUCUCUAGUAGAAGAAUGUUAAUGAAAAGAAAAAGAAAAAGAAAAAAAAAACUAUUCCAAAGUCAAAGACCCGCCACAAAUAAACUUUUUAAAUUUAACUUACAAAUGUCUAACUAAAACCGUAAACUUGAAAGCGCUCUGACUAAACGGCUAGUUUUACAGCACAAUGCUAUCCAAAAGUGAAAACAAAGUUUUACAGCAUAAAUGUUGUUGUCCGGGGCGGGGGGUGGCAGCGCCUCCAAGGAGGACGCAAUAAACAACAGAAUCACAUCAGACAAAAUUAAUUGCAGCUUCUACAAUUUCUUCCUCAAAUGGCUUAUCACACUGUUUUGUCUACUUAAAAUCAAAGCAUUACUUGUUCUCUGAACACUCCUUGAAUUCAAUUGAUGGACGCUGGAUAGCUUUCCUCCCGAAACCAUCACCAAAAGAUUCAAAUUCGAUUUCGUCAUCAUCACUGUCAACAGUCUCCGAAGUCACUCGAUUCUGAUAACUUCUUAGUUGAAUAAGAUAUACAUUGAAGUAAUAACUCACCAUGUCUUUUCUUGUCCUCUUUUGAAAGUAACUGGAUGGAUUGUUCCAAAAAGACUUGUUUUGGGAGGGGAUUUUUAGACUCAUUAUAUCCUUAAAUCUCUUUUCUUCAUCACCUGUCCAUUGAAGUGAAACUUCCUCGCCCAUUUUAUCAAAUCCCCAAUGGUAAAAUGCAGAACCAAAAUCAAACUUCAGCUUCAUCCUGUUUGAAGCAAAAUGAAAUCUUACACAGUCAACUGAACCUUGAACAUUGCAGCUACACUUUCCUCGUCUUCCUCUACCAAUAAGAUCUGUUUCUGUAGUAGGUCUUGAAUCAUCUUUAACAGGCCAUACUUGUGUGCCUAAAGAUUUAGAGUCACUCCCAUAAACUAUACCAGUCCAUUGUGGGACUUCCACUUGGAAAAGAGGACCAACAGAAACAUCACGAGAAUCAUCACUAAAUGGGUCGUAUUUUUU
RNAcentral lists this long non-coding RNA (49544 nucleotides) under Medicago truncatula (barrel medic). RNAcentral describes it as "long non-coding RNA (MTRU_LNC005140)". Lineage: Eukaryota; Viridiplantae; Streptophyta; Magnoliopsida; Fabales; Fabaceae. The record is from RNAcentral.